UGACCCCUUCUACAUGGAGUUGUUUGAGGACAUGCAGCACAAAAAUUACCAUCCUUUCUUGAUAACUCCGAGGGAGCACAGCAACAUAUCAGAAAGCCCUGAUGAAUGGCCACAGUCUCUAUUUAAUAGACCUCGCAAAAGCUCACAAGGACCUCUUCCCAAAAAGCCUAAACUGGAUGCUGCUUAAAGUAGCACAUGCCCAGGGCUGAUGAUACUCUGGUUAUUAUGAUGUUGGAUCUUGCUUGCUUCACAAGAUCUAUUGUUGCAUCCUGAUAUUUAUAUCAAAAACUCUUGUUCUUAUUUUGGGUUUACGCUUUUGUUUAUUUUAAACUGCAAACUCUGUUGUGACAAAUUUUAUUGGCUACACUAUCCUUGCUGCUGGCCAAGGAGUUGAACAUGCAAGGAAAAGAUAGAUUUUUCUUUAAAGAGAAAGUGCUAAUGAUGAAAUUGGCUUGUGGCAAAGCAUAAUCAAGCAUCCAUUCCUUAUUCACAUUGUUCCAUCCCUUCACUCUUUUCUCCUUAGUCUAUAGGCUCUUCACUGACUUGAGAGCUUCUUUCUAAUAGUUCUCUAGAACAGAGGAGUUUCAAGCAUAACCAAGGAAGUCUGGCUCCAAUACAAUGGCAAGAUCAAGGAAAAGGUCAAUUGUCAAAAACUCACAAAAGGUAAUCAGAUACCUUCGUUUCAAGGUAGUUUCAAGCAAAGGUCAAGGAACUCCGGUAGUAGGACAAAUGCAAGGUCAUGAAAGUUAAGUGCCUUCAUCUCAAAAGAGUUACAACCAAGGCCAGGGGACACCAAAUCCAUGUACAAAGCCAAGGUCAAGGAAGUCAAACACCCUUCUACCAUAUUGGUUAUAGCCAAGUACAGGGGGCUCAUCUCAAGGAUCACCAAGCAGUUACUCCCAAGGAGGGAGCAGUACCCAAGGGCCAUCAGCUUUUCGAAGUUAAUUAUACCACAUUUAUUAACUUUAUUUUGCUAACAAAAGUUUGUGUGAUGUAAUUAAUACCUAAAUUUAUAUUUUCGCGACAAUAUGCCAAUCAAAUAUAUAACUGACGAUUAAAACCAUUUAAUAGAAAAAUAAAUCCAAAUUCUAUUUUGAAAAUAUAAUAAUUAGAUUUUAAAGUAAUUCCAAGUCAAUACUCCCAAAAAAAAACUAAUAUUUUCACGAAAAUACGGCAAUCAAACAUAUAACUUUUUAUGGGUAAAUUUGUGAAGUUUUAUUAUCAAUGUAUAAUUCAUAAUUUAAAUAAAUUAGUUACAAAAAGAAGUCAAAAUUAUAUUUGGAAAAUACAAAUUGCUUAGAUUGUAAAGUUAUUUAUCUUCUAUACUAUUAUUUAUGAAGUGAAUUUGAUUACUUGUCAUAUUUUCCAUGAUUGUAUAUAUACUUUUCAUGAACUUUAGAAAAUUUAACUAAUAAAUCGAUAUUAACAAUUGAUAUUAAUCAUAUCUACUGAUAGUAUCAUAAUUACGUUUAUCUUAAAUUUAGUUUAUGUAAUGACUACUAUUAUUGUCAGUUUCUUUGAUUCUUAUUGAAAAUAUGAUCCAAAUAAUUAUUGCAAUAUUAAAGUAAGAUUAAAGAUAAAGCAUUAUGAAAAUAUGUCGCAAAAUAUAAAUUAUAUACUUAUGGCAAAUACCAUGUAUAUAAUAGGACAAUUCUCUCAAAUAGACAUUUUUAAGUUUAAACUAACCAUAAAUACAUUAUUAAUAUUUUUCAUUAUUUCCUUAAAUAAAAUUACGGAAUUUUCUAAUGUGGCUAAAGUAUAUAUGACAAUUAAUGAUUUUGAAUAAUAAAGAUUUGAUAAAAAUAAGUGUAUCUUAUAUUACAUUUUUUUUAAAUUUUAAACUAUUAAAAUAAAUUAAACAACCAUAUUAAUCAUUUAAUAAAGAUUUAGAUUUUUUCUGUAUAUGUUAUAUUUUGAAUUUUUUAAAACGAGUAUAAAUUACUAAAACUGUUAAAAGUCUCACAUUCAAGUUUUGUGAUCCAUGUUUUAAAAUUUUUGUUAUGACAUGGUACAAAUGAUUACAAAAUCAUAUAAAUCGAAAGUCUCAUUUAAUAAGUAUUAAAAUUAAAAGAUAUAUAAAUAUAUAUAUAUAUAUAUCAUUUAAAAUUAAACUAUAUGCCAUAUAAAAAUACAUAUAUAUUCUAAUUUUGAAAUAUACUUUGAACAAAAAAAAAUUGAUAAAAAAAUAUAUAUCAUUUUAUUUUUGUUUAAAUAUUAUAAAUUAUUUAAACUAUUAAUCCCACAAUGAAAUUUUAUUAUCAGUAAUCUAAAGUUUUUACAAUGACAGAUUCAAAUGAUCAAAAAAAAAUAUGAGCAGAAAGUAUCAUUUAAAUUUAAAAUAUACUAUGUAUAUGUUGCUAUCAUUUAAAUUUAAUUAUAUACCAUAUCAAAUAGACAAAAUACUUUUUUAGAUUAUAAAAUUUAUUUAUGUGUUCGUACCAAUUUAAUUAUAUAAGUAAUAAUUACUUAAUUUUUAAUUAUUAAAUAUAUAUUUAUUAUUUCAUAAUAUGUUAAAAAAUAUAAUACAAAAAAUAAUUUAUAUAUAUAAUAUUCAUCCCGCGCAAGGCGCAGAUCUUUAAUCUAGUAUUCAUAUAUUCAACAACACUACACACCAUCUUCUGUAACAAUCGUAUCAUCAAAUCUAUUUAUCUAUUCGCACCAACAAGAAUUUUAAAAGCAGCCAAACAAACAAAAAAACUUUUUAUUCUCGAGCAUUUCGUCACAUGAAAACUCAGUUUUCCCUUCAAGAGUUAGGCACAAAUGUCCCAAUCUGCCCAAACCCCGCGAUGAAGAAUGUGAUUGCUUGCGCGAAAAGGUAUAGAUAACAAUGAUUCUUCCCAAAUAACGCGUCAUAACAUCCGACAGAGAAUAUAUACAUUCCUACACCGAGUUCCACCACAUGAAUUGUUUUAGAAUGAAACAAAACUGCAAGAACUUUGCUUUGCUUAUAAAGAGGAGAAGUAUUUACCUAUCUCCAAAUGUAAAACGAAGCUUUUUUAGUCUUUAUUGCGGAAUUAGCUUUAAGAUCUCCAAGCUUCUCAGUAACAAUCCACUCGUUAACUCUUCAUCCUUCGUGUAAACCUUGCAUUUUAUUUGAUUUUUUUUUUUUCCUUUUUCCAGGGGAUAAAGCCUCGAGACGUAUCAGAAUGUUAAAUGACAUGUUUUUAUUGGCAAGGGACUCUCCUCAGUGCAGUAGUUAUGACGCUAGUUUGGUCCUGUUCGCAGAUCAGUUCAUAGGUGCCGGCUACUACACCGAUAUGCUUCGACGAUUGGAUGCCAUGAAUUACGGUCUUCUCUUAGUCACUCCGACUCUGGACAUCAACAAACCCGAAACCCCUCAAUGGCCCGGAUUGCUUAUGGAUAGAGGCGCAGCCAGUUUUGCUCUUGAAACUAGCAAAAUCUCUGAAGCCCAUGCCGCCGCAGAAGAAGAAGAAACACCUAAGAAGCUGGACACGCAUGGCAAACUUCUCUCGGAAACUGAGGACAUGAAGAAACCAGAAAGCUCUGAAUGUCCAGGACGGCAAAUAGAUGGAGGAUCAGGCUGGGGAAGCUCUGAAGAACCUUGUCCCAGAAAGCAUAAAGCCGGUGCGGCCGAAGAAACAUCUGAUGCGGCCGUAGGGGUUGGGACUAGCUAGCUUCUGUUGUCGUAGCCCGGUGGAUGUUUAUUUAAGUUUUUAUUUAUCAAAAUUUAAGUUCUUAUUUAUCAAAAUGUCUGCUAUAUUUAAGUUUGUACUUGUAUUUUGAACUUCAAACUCCGUUGUAGUAAUUUUAUGACUUCUCUUUUUAUUCUUGCAAUCUUUGGUUUUUCUUGUUGUUGUCUUCCUUCUGUUUAACCGCCAACAAACUCGGGCAUUGUUGUUUUUCUUCAAAUUCAUUUGCUACACCAUAAUCCCAGCAUCUUGUAAUCGGGGAAAGGAUUAUUCCCUUCUAAACCAUUUAUAUAACAUUAAUAAACAAAUAAACUAAAUAUAAGUACAUUGUAAAAAAAUUCACGUUAACUUAUAUAUCCAUUUUUUAUAAAUAAAUAAAUAUAUAUAUAUACAUAUAUUAAAAUUAAUUGUAAAUGUGCUUUAAAAUACAAAACUAAAGCAAUAUUAAUCAAAUAAAAAUUUAUUGAUAAUUAAUGUUUAAAUUUUUUUUUAGCAUUUAUUGGUUUAUUUAGGGUUUCCCCAAAAAAAAGGAAAAGAAUGCACACAGAUCCGUUCCGUUGAAAAUAUGUCAGCACCCUUGAUAUUUUCCUUUUUUAAAAAACAAAAAAUUGAGAUCCAAGAGAGAUAUAAAAACAUGCCCUCAUAGAUAUCUCAGCAAGCUGCAGCCUAGCUCUCUCAUCCGUCCGUGGAGAAAAGCAUUCAAAGCAAGAUCUAACCCCUAGCUAGAAGGAAGGUCUCUCCAAUUCUCAUCGUCAUCUCCGCAGAACCAUGGGCGAAGACGAUACCAUCGGUUUUGAGUCCUGUAAGAUCUCUCUCCAUCUAAAAUUGUUUUGUUAGAUUUCAUCUGAUUCGAUUAUAGGGGAAGUAAUGGUUUAUUUUUUCUAAUUUUUUCGUAAAUUCGUUUGUGUGUAGUGAAGCAGACGCUCGUGUACUGGAACAUGGAUGACUACCCAAUCCCUGUAGAUACUACCGAUGAGCUUGAUCCUGUUUUUGGUGAUAUCUUAAAAGCUCUUGAUGUAAUGGGCUUUCGUAAUGGGCAUAUAGACGUGUAUCUGUAUUCUGAGCAAAUCAACAGGGAGGAGGCUGUAGUCGACUGGACUUUACCCGAAAGUAAAUUCCUCACUCUCCUUUGCUCGUCAUCGUUUCUAUUUUAAAUUAUAUAUAUAUAUAUAUUGUAAUCGGACUUGUUUCUCUGUUGUUGUUUGUAGGCGAAUCUUACGGCGCUUGUGUUUACAAAGUGCCGGAUAUCACUUUGUAUAUGAUUCGUCACGCAUCGUGUAUUGGACCAGGACCAGUGAAUUUUUUUGUAAUUGCAAAACCAAAAAGGGAGUUACAUAGGGUUCUGCACUGUUUGCAAUCAAGGCGUCACAAUGUUCUUCUAGUAAAGCCGCCGCCUCCUGAUGAAGAAUUUCUCUUUAGUGUAGCCUCUCUACUUGAGAAUGCUCGAUUUUUAGGUGGAGGAAAGCCUAGAUUCAAAGAAUUAUAUGCUUCUUAUGCGCUUGAGUAUGAUAUGUGCUUUGAAGAGUAUGUAGACAUCCCAGAAGAUCUCUCCAGGACGGUAGAUUUCUCCGGUAAGACCCCAAAUUGUUUCUAGAUUUUUCUAUUUUUGAAAAUUUAUUAUAAAUGGUAUUUUAUUUAACCUCUCUUUAUUGCAUGUAUGUAUGGCUCAGAGCGUAUCCCAACCGUCAGAGGGCCUAGGACAGCCGUCUUCUGGGACGCCGUGGAUUGCCCUUUCCCUCCUUCUUCCACCCCUGAUGAGAUCUACCACUCUAUCUCAUCAGCUCUUGUUGAAAGGUAUCUUAGUGAUAAUAUUAGAGUGUUUCGAUAUCCAUUGCCAAAACCUCCAUCGAUCGUAAUAGCCCAAUGGGCCCCGUCAAAGGGCCUCGUAUCAUUAUUUGUUGUACAAAGAACCUACAAGCAGAUUAAUAUUUUGCUAGGUGUGAAUUUAUAAAAUUAAAAUUUAAAACAUAUAGUAUUGAUUUAAAUAAAUUUAUAUAUUUGAUCCAUUUUUUUUUAUAUCUAUACAAUUAUGUUUUCUUUGUAUUUAUUAUAUAAUUAGACCAUCUAUCUAUCUAUCUAUACUAAUAAAGUUGAGUUGAGUCGCAAUUUUAAAUUUUCAAGUUUUUUUUUUGCUUUAUUGCAUAACUAGCUUUUCAGGAAUAACAACUUAAUUAGAUUUUUCAUAGCCCUAAACUAAAUCUCUUUUCCUUCCACCAUGUUCUUCGUUUCUAGCCUACAUAACCAAUCCUUCCUCUUUCCUACCGCUUAAAAGCUUCCCUUUUAACGCCUAGGGGGGGGCUUAUUGAAUUGAUGAUUUGAGAAAAUUCUAGUUUUAUCCAAAUAUCUUCUCAUUGGCUGUAGGAUUUUUCAAAACUCUAUCAAAUUCACCCUUAUUGGACUAGCCAUUUAUAAAAACUCUUUAAAAUUUCCCCUUAUUGAAAAAUGAGGAUUUCACUAGUAAAAUCUCUCGUAGUUAUUUUGAGUUAUACCAAAAAAAUAUUUAAAGUUAAAAUUGAACAGAUACAAAUACCACCUUAUGAGUUGGUAUUUGAAGAAAUGUGAAAAAAAUAUCUACGUUCUCCCAUUUGAAACCCAAAACAGUGUCUCUCCUAAGGGAAUCAACUUUGACACUGGAGCGACACUCGCCUUCGUGACACUAGAUCCGAUGGAGAACGUGAGUUCAUGUUUUACCGGAACCCUAGCGCCCACAUGAUACUCCAUCCUGGUGAGCUUAACUUUGAUCUCAUCAGAUCUGCUAAGGUGUUCCACUAUGGAUCAAUAAGUCAACUUCAACUUGAAUGCUGUCAACGUAUAUGUUGACAUGCAAACCACCAAAUUUAGGGAUUUUGAGACUGCAAAAGGGCUUGUGGAGGAGAUCAAAAGCAUAGUAGGGGGUCUUCCACCUGCAGCAGAUGGUAGUAAGUACAUGACCAACAAGAUAACUUGUUAUCUCUCUACGGAUCCUUAUCUCCCUACGGAUCCUCACGAACGAGAAACUAGGAAUGUUCUAGAGAGGCUUCGAGUGAAAGUGAAGCGGUUUGCCUUAAGAAAGAUGUUUUGUAGAAAUUGUAGAGGUUCUCAGAUUACUCCUCCUCGUCCAGGUAAAAACAUUUAGUACCUAAUUUUUUUCUGUUUGUUUUUAUUUUUCUUGCAAAAAAAAAAAAAAAAAUCUAACCAUUUUAUUUGUUUGUGCUGUGUGAAGGAAAUCUACUACCUGGACAGAAACCACAACUUCUUGAGAUAGAAAUGGUAUGCGACCUCCUGUGGCACGUCUUAGACCUCGAAGAUCAUCGAUUUGAGCUGAAUAAGAAUUUGUAUGAGGCAAAAGAUGGGAAGGUACCAAAACCGUUCAGAGACACAGUGAUGCUGAUUACGGGUGACCAGUGGUUAACAAACGAGCUGGAGUCGGAUUGUCUAGAUGGAUUCACGCUUCUGAAGGACAUACCUGCUUGUUUGGAGCCAAUGCCAAUGUCUAUAUCGAAGAAUGAGUAUUGGAAGCGACGCCGAGAGCUAGAGGUAAAUAUUUGAUAUGUGUACUGUUUAGCUUUAUCUGUUUAGAGGCUUUUGGGUAGUUCAGUAUCACCGCACAUUACAUCGAUCAUUUUUUUUACUUAGCUUGCUUUAAUAUUAGCUCUCUGUUGAUACGUACCAGUUCUCUAAUGAGAUGUAUUCUUGCUUCUGCUUAUUAAUGCAGGGGCAGGUUUGAAGUCCUUCUAUGAUGGAUGGUGAAACUCAAGAUUAUUUGCUUUUUGUUUCUUUUUGUUGAAAUUUUCCUGGAUGGUUUUGCGCUUGAUAGAGCGGUGAAUCUGUGGAUUCUAUCAUUUCGUUUUGUCCUAUUUUGUCCUAUUCGACACUUGAUUUAGUUUUUUUUUUUUUUUAAUAAUGUCCCAGUUUUUAUAAUUUGUGGGAUUAUGAGAGCUUCUAAGUGUUUUAACCGUGAUGAAGCACACGAACAAAGUAAAAAGGAGUGAAGUAACCGUAAGUAUUUGAGAGAGAAGAUAAAUUUGAGAAUUUAAGAGAAUGAGAGGAUUUGUGAGAUUGAGAGAAUGAAAGAAAUGUUUGUAUUGAAUUGUGUGUUUAAUUGUGUAACAUACAUGGUGUAUUUAAAGGAAACAAAAGCAAUAAGCACUCAAUGAUGGAAGAAUAAAUAACUAGUAGUGGACUAGCCACUCCUCCCCAUUUGGUAAGUGAUAUGGCCACUCCUCCCACUUCCUCCACUAACUAGUAGUGGACUAGCCAUUCCUCCCCAUUUGGUAAGUGAUAUGGCCACUUCUCCCACUUCCUCCACUACUUCCCUUUGUUUAAUUCUUCAUGUCAACAUUCGACACUUGAUUUAGUUUUUUUUUUUUUUUAAUAAUGUCCCAGCUAGUCUUGAAGAUACCGUAACCAAGCUAAAUUAAAAAAAAAGGCAUCACAAAUCCUUUCCCUAGUAUAUUAAGUUUAAAAAAUAGAUAUAUACUAGAUUAAGAUCCGCGCCUUGCGCGGAAUAAACAUUAUAUAUAUAAAUUAUUUUAUGUAUUAUAUGUUCUUACAUAUUAUGAAAUAAUAAAUAUAUAUUGAAUAAUUAAAAGUCAGUAACUAUUACAUAUAUAAUUAAAUUGGUGCAAACGUAUAAAUCAAUUUUAUUAAUCCAAACAUUUUUUUUUAAAAAAAUUUGAUAGGAUAUGUAAUUAAAUUUAAAUGAUAUUAACAUACAUAGUAUAUUUUUAAUAUUAAUGUCUAUUUUUUUUUAAAUGAUGCUUUCUAUUCAUAUUUUUUUUAUCAUGUGUAUUUUUAAUAGUAAAAACUUUAAAUUACUGAUAACAAAAUUUUCAUUGUGGGAUUAAUAAUUUUAGUAAUUGAUAAUUUAAAAAAAUUCAUCAAUGUUAGUUCAAAACUUUUAUCAAAAAAAAUUAUUCAAAGUAAAUUUUGAAACUAAAAUAUUUAUUUAUUCAAUAUGGUUUAUAGUUUAAUUUAGAAUUAUAUAUAUACAUAUAUAUUUUAAAUCUUAAUGAUUAAUUAAAUUAGACUUUUACUUUUAUGAUUUUGUAAUCAUUUGUAUUUUGUCAUAACAAAAAUUUUAAACCAUGGAUCGCAAAAUUUAAAUGUGAGACUUUUAACAGUUUUAAUAAUUUAUAGUCAUUUUUUAAAAUUCAAAAUAUAAAAUAUACAGAAAAAUCUAAAUUUUUAUAAUAUGGUUAUUGCGUUUUUAAAAAAUUAUUUUAAUAGUUUUAAAUUAAACAAAUUUGAUAGAAGAUACAUUUUUUUAUCAGAUCUAUAUUAUUCAAAAUCAUUAAUUGUCGUAUAUACUUUACUCACAUUAGGCAAUUCCGUAAUCUUUAUUUAAGGAAAUAAUAAAUGACAUUAAUAAUGAAUUUAUGGUUAGUUUAAUAAAAAACUUAUUAUAUAAUUAGAUGGACCAACAUAUUUCUCUAAUAAUUCUAAGAAUCAUCCUAGUGGUGACAUGUGGCUACAAAAAGAUGUUGUAAUGUUUCACAAAUAAUAUAUAGGGGAUAUACUUCUAUCGAAAAUACAAUAUAUAACAUUAUUUUCGGUCUCAACUACUCUCGAUCGACAUUACAUGUGAUAUAAUGAAUCCAAUGGACAAGCAUUGUUUGGUUCUAUAUGUUAUUGUUCUCGACUAUAUUCGUAGUCUUCAAUCGAAAUGGUUCUAUAUGUUAUUGUUCUCGACUAUAUUCGUAGUCUUCCAUCGAAAAGCAUUGAUGUAUAUAGGCUCUGUCAAUUCCUUCAUAUAACUCAUUAAAAAAUUUGUUAUUUCAAUCCCACGGAAAUUUGGUUAAGUUUGUGGGGAUGUCUUGUUGAUAUAAGAAUACGGAUAUACUUAUUAUGGAAUACAAUUUUUAAUGGUCAGGAAGAAUUACGCUUAAAUGUCGAGUGGUUUUGAGACAUGCAUUAUUUGUUUUUCUUUUUCUAGUUAGGCCAUAGUCGGGUUGUUGUUCGUUUCGAUGUCACACGACUGAUCGCGCGACCAGUCGCGGGUUCCAAUUCAAGUCGCCCGAAAAAACAGCGACUAAAAAUUAAGAAAAUUUUGAUCGAACGAGUGGUCGCAGAUCGCAGGUCGCGCGACACGUAAACGAACAUAGUUUUAGUCGCAGGUCGCAGGUUUAGUCGCAGGUCGCAAGUCACGUAAACGAACAUAAUCUUAGUGGCAGGUUGGGUAAACGGCCUUACCUAUUCCUAUGAUAUGUCUUGUCUACUGUUGCGUGUCCAUGCCUUUAGAUAUGAAAACAUAAAUUUAUCUUUAUGAAAUUUUAUUUUACGAGAUGCGAUCUUUGUAGUAGCAUAUAUCAGGUAUAUAGAUGCAUCUGUUUACUACUAGAAUCAAGGUUCAGUACUAGAGAAAUAUAUAAGAAGUCUUACAAAAUGACUAAAUGAAAACAUAAUAAGAAUUGGUUAUAGCCUACUUUAAUUUGACUUUCAUCUUAUAAUUUGGUCGGUAUGCCCCAACCAAAUCUAUCCCUUUCAUUCUAAGCAUCGUGUGACAUAUAUAAUAGUUAAGUCAAGGUUUAUCUCUCAUAAAACUAACUCAAAAGAAUUAGCUAACCUCAUGAUUACCUUCUUCGUUGGAAAUUAAUUACUCACUCAUGAUUCUCUCCUUUAUUUAGCCUCAAACCAUAACUCUCCCACAGAUUCUGAUCUCCGUCUCCCAUGAAGAACGGGAAGCAGUUUGUAUUAGCGGCCAUUGCACCGCUCGGGUUUCCAGCGGCUGCGUUUACAUUUGAUGUUGAAGAACCCACAUUGCCUUGUUCAUUCAUCUGAUGACGCUGAUCAUUAUCAUUAUAUCCACUUUCUUGAUUGUUGUAGAUCGUAUUUUCUUCGGUUGUUGGAUAGUAAACGCCGCAGCUCGACGAAUUGUCCUUCCUUUUCUUGUUCAUUUUCUUCUUUCCAUUGCUUAUCCACUCCCAAUUUUCCUUGCAUAACAAGGCACUUUUCUGAUCGAACCCUAACUGAGCCAUUUUCCCUGCGACUUCCUCCCAUAAAGAAUCAUCCGAGCAUCCUCCCAAUAUCUCUUGAAACGCCGAGUCCAUACUAGUUCUUAUCUCCAUAAGCUUUGUGAUCUCUUGCUCAUUCCAGCAGCUACCACUUCCUUCAAUAGAAACAUUGUUAGUCAUUGUUUGGUCGCUUUCAUUCUCAUUCUGAUUCUCACUGUUCUUUUGGAUCUCAUUAUUACCAUUAAUCCUCUCCUCUGGGGAUGAACAUAACGGCUUUAUUAACGUCUUUCCGGUCAAAAACUGCAAAGCCUCAAUCACCGCCACAUCCCUAGCUUCCAUCCUCUCCCUCUCUUUAGACCAAAAAAAAGCUCUUUAUCGAUCCUCGCAGCCUCACUCUUUCUCCAUUCCUCUUCUUUCAUCAUCCUUCGUUCCUCUUUGUCUUCAAUAACCUUUGUCAACUUCUCAAGCCAAACAUCUUGACUUUCUAUCAACCUUUUCAUGUUCACAUCAAUGAACUCCUUUAUCUUAUUUUUCCAACUCCUCUUUUUCCUUCUUCUACUAGAAUCAUUCCCCUCAGAAGACGAAGUCACCAACUCCAGCUCGGAGGAAUUGUAGUUGUUAGAAAGGCUUAGGCUUUGACGAUGGAAACCAUGAACACUAUCAACGUUAUGGAUGUUAGACGUUGUUGUAGUAACGUCGUUCAUGGCGUUUUGAGUGUGGAAACCAUGAAGAGCAUUGCUCAUGAACUGUGUGUUAUGACUGGGACAAGGAACCAAGUUGUUGGAAUCACCGUAGAGCGCCUCGAGCUGCCGGAAAAAUCUAUAGUGUUUACCGUCUUGUCUUCCGGCUUUGCCUUCUCUAGUCUUCUUAUAGUAUUUGUAAAGGUUCUCAAACUUCUCUCUGCAUUUUUUCCCACUCCUUUGGUAUCCAUGUUCCUCAGACAUAAUCCUAAAUGUUAAAGCAAAAUAAGACUACAUGUACAAUACUUCAUGUUUCGAUUAAAAUUUAAAGCAGUACCCUAAUCUUGAAACUAGGUUUGAAUCAUGACUGUUCAUAAGAUAUUCAUAUAUUCAUCGUUUUCAUGCAUAAACGUAUACAGAAUAACAUUGUAUGGUCUAUUCGCUUAAGUUUAGAUAAUAACUUAAAAGUUUGUUUUUCUUACAUAACCAAGAUUAUUUUGGAGACUUACUAGUGGACUAAUAGUUUAGCACAAGAACGUGUUUCUAUGCAUAGUUACACAAAAGAAGAGGGUACAUAUCUCCAGAAGCUAAGAAAGAUGAAUCAGAAGUUAUCAGUAAAAAGGGAGAAAACUAAAAUCAAAGUCAAAGAUGAUAAUAGAACUCUUUAUUUUACUAUUUUCUAUGUUUAACCUUUUGGGGUCUUAAAGCACUUGCUAAUGUCUUAACUGAAACUGCCAAGGUCUGGUCAUUCUCUCGACCAAACCAAAACGACUCCUAGAGAAAUUGUUUUAAACUGACCACUCUGCAGAUACACAUUAAUAUGUGUGUGUGUAUAUUUACAUAUAUACGCGCGAAUGUAAUAUUUAUAUGUGUCCCUAUAUUGAUCAGCUCAAAAAGUAUGUUGAAAUUGAGGAGCCCAAGGGAAGUGUUGAGAUCACAUUCUUUCUAGUCAUUAAUGCAGAAAAAGGUUUAACUUGUCUUCGGGAUUAUCACUUGAAAGGUCUAAUUUUUAACAAGAAAGCGUAUGAAAGGUCAAAUCUUUUCAAAUCUGAAAAAAACUCCGGAAAACAAAAUGCUUAAAUUUUAUUAAUAGUUUUUUGAAGAUGUAGCUGUUUAGUGUUUAGAAAUGAAUGUUUUCUUCCAUUGGAAAUUUAUUAAUUUUCGCCUAAUUGACUAACUUUUUUAAAUAGGAUACAGUGUCGUCGAUGAAUCAAAAGACUCUUAUGGUAUGAAUUGGUUUGAGAAAUGUGCUUAAUAUUUUUUAAUAUUUUUAUGAAAAAUAGCGGAAAAUAAAAAGAGAGAGAGAGAUUAGGGUGAAGUGAAGCAAACCUAGAAACUUCAUCCCAUAGAGGUCCCUUUUGAUUAGCUUCUUUGAACUUAUGAUCAAGACGAGAUCUAAUCUCCAGCAGAGUUAGGGUUUCUUGUCUCGGCCAUCUCCCCGUUCCUCCACCAUCUCCUCCGCCGCCGCCGCCGAUACCUCCUCCGCCACCGCCUCCCCGCCAAACCCAACUGCUCCACCACUGCUGCUAGCGUUUAAGUUACUGUUAUUUCCAGCCGUCGAAGAACUCCCACCCAGUCCAUGUAUGCCACGUGGUAAGAAACCCAUCUCCUGAUCUGUAGUGAACUGAUGUAGCCGGUGGUGUUGCGGCGGCGGAGGGGGCGCAGCCGGAGCUAGGUUGAAGCCAAAGAAGUCGGAGGGAAAAUGAGAAGAGGUCGACGGUGAUUCCGUCGUAGUCGCCCUCCCCCCGCCUUGCAUGAGCUGCCGGAGCUCCGGUACACCAUACUGAGGAUGAUGAUCGUCCAUUUUUAGAUUUAUACUCAGCUGAAAGAGAAGGAAAAAGUAAAGGCUCUACCCUUUUAAUUCCAAAGAAAGAAAGAAAAGAUUGAAGCUUUUUUGAGAGAGAGAGAGACUGAUCGUGUAGUUCACGAAAAAGGUCGAAUGUAAGCUACAGAUAUGGUCCCCUGACUUAAUAACAUUUUUUUUAUUUUUCUUCUUGUAUGAGUGUGGGCGAGAGAGGGAAGAAACCGAUGUAUGGUAUGGUCUAUGGAUACUACAUACAGAUCUUUUUGUAUGUAUACUGUAUGUUUUAAGUUUUUGUACCAUGUCCAUGUGUCUUAGUUCUCAUUAUCUCCUAUCAAAUAAUUUGAAUACAUGCAUUGAUGCAUAUAUAUUCAUUUCAAUGCAAGGUUAGAUACAAUAAUACAUCGAGCCAUCGAGGCAUUCUUCUUUAAAUCUUGGCUGUAGAAUUGGUUUUUAAAUAAUGAUCUGAAGACAGUUUUCCAUUUCCUCUGUAGAUUUUUUACUACCGAGUUUCAUUAGUAUUUUGGAUUUUUGUAUGAGGAUAGUUUUAAGGCAAUUUGCACAUGUGACUCCAUAAUUGACACAACCUUUUUGGAAAACAAAGGGUUGCCUAUAAAAUUAUUCCCUUGAAUUAUUAGGUAACAUCAUUAUUUUGGCUGCAGUCUCGGAUAUUUUUCCCAUUUAUUAAAGUAUGAUUUACUUUGUGAGCCCCUGAAUAAGUAGAUACUUGCACAUUUCUAUAUCCCUACUUCUAAGAGCAAGAAAUGACUCUAAAAUCAUUAAUAAUUAUGGAUAUAUAUAUCCUAAAAACCAAACAGUUUUUUCACAUUAGAUAUUGUCAUGUUUAAUAAUUCGUGUACCUUUUUUUUGCUUUUAAAUCUGUCAUUCAGCUUUUAAAAUCUUCGUAUUUCAUAAAAAAAGGUUUCCUCUGCACUGAGAACUUUAUAAGAAAAUUUUCGAGAGACAUGUUUGUGAAGUUAUUUGAAAAUCAAAUUAAAUUAAUUGGCCGCAAUAAGAGGGGGUCCUCUGCAAAAUUACCAAAUUAUUGGCUUUUAUGCUCCCCAACAUUUCAAUCUGUCUAAUCCCUAACCAUUUGGCUUUAUUGUUCCCUUUUCACACUUUUAUUGCUUCAAUCCUAAUGUUCACUGAGUUUUUAAUCCUUAUUUCGAUAUUCAUUUCAUGGAACUACACAUUCAAAUUCGUAUUUAGAAUGAUAUCAUUAUUAGAUUUAUCAUGAUUUUUUACCGCUUUCAUUUGAAAAUCAAACAAAUAUCAGAACUGAACCCUUUUUUGGACAAAAAAAAUAUCAGAAUUGAACUAUCUAUAUAAUUCACCUCGUUGUAGCUAUAGUGAUGCUCAGCAUAUAAGUUUAUUUACCUGAUUAAUUAUUAAUUUAAAGUUUCGUAUAAAAUAACUAUUGAUUGUAUGUAAAAUACUGCUAUCGGAAUUCUGAAUUUGCGAAACUCCACCGUAAUUUUUUUCACAUGUCAUGAACCAAUGAAUCAGAAAUAUUCGUUUGUAAAGAAAAAUUAGUGGAACUAACAGUAACAUUUUCGGGAGUUUUGGUUUGAUCCUUAAGAGGAAGGAUCUACAAAAACAUCAAAACCGAUGGAAGAAAUCGCUAAAUAAGAGACGUUUUGGUUUGGUCUUUAUACUGUUCGCGGACUCUAGUAAUACGUAACGGUUCGCGAUUGAUUCGUUUUUAAUUUUUUUUAAUCAGACAAAAAAAGAAAUUAAGGACCCUACCAAUAAUAUUGCUCUAAUGAAGAUUGCGAGAAAAAAAAAGAUUUUAUUGUAUUUAGUGAUGAGAGCUGAGUACACGUGCCACAUUUGUAACCGUAUGUUAUAAGACCCUCUCCCAUCAACAGUAUCCUCAUUAGGCACACCAAAACGAUGCCGUCGAUUUUCUAUAACUUGUUUUAGGGUUCUUUUCGAGCUUUCUUUGGUUUAUUUUCUUUUCUUCGUUUCUUAAUUUAUUUAAAUAAGAAAUAAAUAAAUAUAUGCUUCUCUCUUCCAUGGAUUGCAGACAAAUAACAAGGUUUUAGGUUUGUCACCUACCUAUUUAUUGUUUCUGUUUUUUUUUGUGAACUACCUAUUUAUUGUUUCUUCACCGCCAAAUUAAUUGACACCUUAUCUUCUUCUUUUCCAUCUCCUUUGAUUUUAUCAAAUAUUGUAAGGAGGUCAAUUCUUUGAAUUAUACUUCAUUCACCUCGUUUUUCUUAUAACAAAACCAACUUCGAUACUUUGAAUGAUAAAUUUCAAAAUUCAGUUUAGACUAGUAUAGGAAAUAUCAAAAAUAUAUAUAAGAAACAUUUUUUUCUAGUAAUUUCUUCAUGUCCUUUGUAUUUCCCAAUAGAUCGCAAUAUAAUCACAUUCAAAUUGUAUUAAUUGGAUUUCGAUACUGACACAACUAUAACUAUAUUUUAGUUGACAUAAUUCUAGAUUAGGAAAUUGAAAAAUCUAACAAUCUCUCUAUAUAUACUCCUUCAAUUCCUAAAAAUCCAUAUUUUAGAAUUCUUACACUUUUUAAUAAAACAUAUUAAAACUUAGCUAUAAAUGCAUAGUUUUCUGUAAUUUUAUAUUCUUAAAUUUUUAAACUAAUAAAAUUUUAAGAAAUGCAAUUAAUGUUUUUGAACUUCACAACUUUUCAUUAUUAGUGGACAAAAAUUAUAUUGAAAAUAUAAAAUAUGUACUUCCUCUGUUUCUAAAUAUAAGAUGUUUAGAUAGAAAAACACAUUUUAAGAAAACUACUUUUUGUUUUGUCCAAAAAAAAAAUUUGUCCAAAAAAAAAAAGAAGAAAACUAUUUUUUGUCUACUAAAUAUAAUUAAAACUAUAAAUUAAUAGUAUUCAACCAAUUACAAAAUAUAUUAUUAAAAUAUAAUUAGUUACAUAGUUUUUAACAAAGUAAAAGUUAUUUAAAAAAAUGAAAACAUCUUAUAUAUUAGAACAUCAAAAUUUUGUAAAAUAUUCUAUAUUUAAAAACAAAUGGAGUAUGUUUUUGAAAUAAUUUUUUUUAUGAAUCUUUUAGAAACGGAUGAAAGAAUUAAAUAUUCUAGUAUUUGUUAGUAGGUGCCCUGAAGGUGGCCUCUAGUUUCCACGUCGGGUAGAGGCGAAGGAGCAUGCAUUUGUGCGAAAGUGAAUUUUUCUUUUUUUUUGAAACUAACGAAAGUGAAAUUAAAAGAUUAAAAUAUCAACUAUACUACUACUAAGAUGGGUCAAUGUUCCACAUGCAAACAAUAAUUCUCAAAAUAACAAUAAUAUAUAUGCGGUAGGGCCUUUAUUCAUUCGUACAUCACCAAUGUAUUCGUACAUUGAUUAUAAAUUCGUACUUUAUGGUUAAUAAGACGUAUAUAAUUCAUAUGAGGGUACACUUUUUAACGAAGAAAUUACUUAAAACGAGUUUCAUUAGUGAGAUAACACAUCCAAAAAUAUGGCUUACUUAAGAUAAACACUGAGUUACUAUUUCCUAGAUUUACAACAUUAGUCAUCGGUGACCCUUUCGAUAUGAAAAUGUCAUGAUUCUCGUUAAAGCAAACUUUGGUUUUUAUUGAAAAAAGGGAAAGUGGCCUCAACCAUGAUCUGUUUUAUAUAAUAUAUUUUUGUUCUAUCAGUGAAGAUCUCUCUCUUUAAUUUGCUAAUAACGAGAUCUAUUUUUCCACUGUUGUGUAUGAAUCAGAAUAUAAUAUUCCUCAGCAAUCAUACCGUUCAAAAAUUAAAACUGAAAGACAUUCUUGAUCGCAAAGUUGGGGACCACGGUACCAAAAUCACGAAUAAAAGUUUACUUAAGAAUAUUUGACAUAAGAUAGCUAGAUGCCGACAAAUUCAUAAUGAUCACUUUGGAUUUGUUUUAAAAGAAAUUAAUAAGUGAAGAAGUAAUUAUUUCUUAGAAAGGAGUCAAUGACAAACAAAAGCAACAUAUACAUAGAUUUUUGAAAAAAAUUCAAAAAAUUUGAUAAUAUUAUUUUAAUUUAUAAUUGCAUCAUUCACUAAAAUAUGAUGAUGUUCAAAAAAGUUUAGAAUCUUUGUUGUUCCUGUUUUUAAAGAAAAUAACGAUUCUACAGUAGUUAUUCCACCUAUUUAAGGAGUAUUAUGAAGUUAUACUAAAUAAAUUGAUAAACAAAAUUAUAACGAUUCUCAUAUACCAUGAAAAAGAGUUUUACAUACAUUAAUACAAAUGUAUAAUGUGGUUAGAAAUUUUAAAACAACACUAAAAAGUUUCGGCUUCACUAUAUAGAGCGUUUAACGUAAAACUCAAUAUUUCGUAUGAGUUUAUUCAUAGAUUUUAAAAAAUUAAAAAUACUACAAUAUUGUUUUAAUGCAUAGUUGCAUCCUAAACUAACAUAUGAUGAUGAUCAAAAAUCCUUGAAACCUUUGUUAUCUAUGUUUCUCUAGAAAAUAACGAUUCUAUAAUGGUUAGUCCACUAAUUUAGGGAUUACAUGAAGUUUUACAAAAUUAAUUGAUAUAAAAUUAGAAAGAUGUCCAUGUACGAUGAAAAAAGAGUUUAAAUAACAUUGAUACAAAUUUAGAAUGUGGUUACAAAUUCUCAAAUAACCCUAAAGAUUAUAGGCUUCAGUAUAUAAAGCAUUUACCAAAAACUCAAUAUUUUCGUAGGGGUUAAUACAUAGAUUUUGAGAAAAAUUUCAAAAAAUUUAAUAAAAUAUUUAUAAUGCAUAGUUGUUGUCUCUGUUUUUCAAGAAAAAUGAUGAUUCUAAAGUGGUUAUUCCACCUAUUUAGGGAGUAUUAUGAAGUUUUACUAAAUAAAUUGAUAAAAAAUUAUAACAAUUCUCAUAUACCAUGAAAGAGGGUUUAACAUACGUUAAUACAAAUUUAUACUGUGUUUUGAAUUUAUAAAACAACACUAAAAAUUUUAGGUUUCAGUAUAUAGAUCGUUUAACGUAAAACUUAAUAUUUCGUAUGGCUUUAUAUAUAGAUUAUGAAAAAAAUUCAAAAUAUAAAAAUAUUAUUUUAAUGCAUAGUUGCAUCCUAAACUAACAUAUGAUUAUGGUCAAAGAGACUUGUAACCUUUGUUGUCUAUGUUUCUCUAGAAAAUAACGAUUUUAUAAUGGUUAGUCCACUAAUUUAGGGAUUACAUUAAGUUUUACAAAAUUAAUUGAUAUAAAAUUAGAAAUAUGUCCAUGUACAAUGAAAGAGAGUUUAAAUAACAUUGAUACAAAUUUAGAAUGUGGCUACAAAUUUUAAAAUAACCCUAAAGAUUAUAGGCUUCAGUAUAUAAAACAUUUACCAAAAACUCAAUAUUUUCGUAGUGGACAUAUAGAUUUUGGGAAAAUUUCAAAAAAAUUGACAAUAUUGUUUUAAUGCAUAGUUGCAUCUUUCACUAACAUAUAAUGAUGUUCAAAGAGGUUUGGAGCCUUUGUUGUCUCUGUUUUCCAAGAAAAUGGCGAUUCUACAGUGGUUAUUCCACCUAUUUAGGGAAUAUUAUGAAAAAAAAUCAAAAAUAUAACAAUUUUUUAAUGCAUAGUUGCAUCCUAAACUAACAUAUGAUGAUGGUAAAAGAGGCUUGGAAAAUUUGUUGUCUAUGUUUCUCUAGAAAAUAACGAUUUUAUAAUGGUUAGUCCACUAAUUUAGGGAAUAUUAUGAAAAAAAAAUCAAAAAUAUAACAAUUUUUUAAUGCAUAGUUGCAUCCUAAACUAACAUAUGAUGAUGGUAAAAGAGGCUUGGAAAAUUUGUUGUCUAUGUUUCUCUAGAAAAUAACGAUUUUAUAAUGGUUAGUCCACUAAUUUAGGGAUUACAUGAAGUUUUAAAAAAUUAAUUGAUAUAAAAUUAAAAANNNNNNNNNNNNNNNNNNNNNNNNNNNNNNNNNNNNNNNNNNNNNNNNNNNNNNNNNNNNNNNNNNNNNNNNNNNNNNNNNNNNNNNNNNNNNNNNNNNNNNNNNNNNNNNNNNNNNNNNNNNNNNNNNNNNNNNNNNNNNNNNNNNNNNNNNNNNNNNNNNNNNNNNNNNNNNNNNNNNNNNNNNNNNNNNNNNNNNNNNNNNNNNNNNNNNNNNNNNNNNNNNNNNNNNNNNNNNNNNNNNNNNNNNNNNNNNNNNNNNNNNNNNNNNNNNNNNNNNNNNNNNNNNNNNNNNNNNNNNNNNNNNNNNNNNNNNNNNNNNNNNNNNNNNNNNNNNNNNNNNNNNNNNNNNNNNNNNNNNNNNNNNNNNNNNNNNNNNNNNNNNNNNNNNNNNNNNNNNNNNNNNNNNNNNNNNNNNNNNNNNNNNNNNNNNNNNNNNNNNNNNNNNNNNNNNNNNNNNNNNNNNNNNNNNNNNNNNNNNNNNNNNNNNNNNNNNNNNNNNNNNNNNNNNNNNNNNNNNNNNNNNNNNNNNNNNNNNNNNNNNNNNNNNNNNNNNNNNNNNNNNNNNNNNNNNNNNNNNNNNNNNNNNNNNNNNNNNNNNNNNNNNNNNNNNNNNNNNNNNNNNNNNNNNNNNNNNNNNNNNNNNNNNNNNNNNNNNNNNNNNNNNNNNNNNNNNNNNNNNNNNNNNNNNNNNNNNNNNNNNNNNNNNNNNNNNNNNNNNNNNNNNNNNNNNNNNNNNNNNNNNNNNNNNNNNNNNNNNNNNNNNNNNNNNNNNNNNNNNNNNNNNNNNNNNNNNNNNNNNNNNNNNNNNNNNNNNNNNNNNNNNNNNNNNNNNNNNNNNNNNNNNNNNNNNNNNNNNNNNNNNNNNNNNNNNNNNNNNNNNNNNNNNNNNNNNNNNNNNNNNNNNNNNNNNNNNNNNNNNNNNNNNNNNNNNNNNNNNNNNNNNNNNNNNNNNNNNNNNNNNNNNNNNNNNNNNNNNNNNNNNNNNNNNNNNNNNNNNNNNNNNNNNNNNNNNNNNNNNNNNNNNNNNNNNNNNNNNNNNNNNNNNNNNNNNNNNNNNNNNNNNNNNNNNNNNNNNNNNNNNNNNNNNNNNNNNNNNNNNNNNNNNNNNNNNNNNNNNNNNNNNNNNNNNNNNNNNNNNNNNNNNNNNNNNNNNNNNNNNNNNNNNNNNNNNNNNNNNNNNNNNNNNNNNNNNNNNNNNNNNNNNNNNNNNNNNNNNNNNNNNNNNNNNNNNNNNNNNNNNNNNNNNNNNNNNNNNNNNNNNNNNNNNNNNNNNNNNNNNNNNNNNNNNNNNNNNNNNNNNNNNNNNNNNNNNNNNNNNNNNNNNNNNNNNNNNNNNNNNNNNNNNNNNNNNNNNNNNNNNNNNNNNNNNNNNNNNNNNNNNNNNNNNNNNNNNNNNNNNNNNNNNNNNNNNNNNNNNNNNNNNNNNNNNNNNNNNNNNNNNNNNNNNNNNNNNNNNNNNNNNNNNNNNNNNNNNNNAAGAACACUGAGGUGAUAGGAUACUGUGAUGCAGAUUGGGCUGGAGAUAGAGUAGACAGAAGGUCAACCACCGGUUAUUGUACAUUCAUUGGAGGGAAUCUUGUCACUUGGAAGAGCAAGAAACAGAAAGUAGUAUCUUGUUCAAGCGCAGAAGCAGAGUACAGAUCAAUGAGGAAGCUAACCAGUGAGCUUAUCUGGAUAAAGGGGCUUUUAGGCGACUUGGGAAUUGAGAUCACCUCUCCCAUGACCAUGCACUGUGACAACCAAGCCGCAAUACACAUUGCAUCCAACUCAGUCUUUCAUGAAAGGACAAAGCACAUAGAAGUAGACUGCCACAAGGUCAGACAAGCAGUGGAGCAGCAAGUGAUUCUCCCAUGUUAUACAAGAAGUGCGGAUCAGCUGGCUGACAUCUUCACCAAGGCGGCCAGUAGCAAAGUUUGUGAGUCCAUUCUUCCAAGACUUGGACUCAUAAACCUUCCAUGUCAAUGAUCUCCUCACCGUGGAGUAUUCUACUCUUUUUCCUUUGCUUGGUUUUUAUCCCAAGUGGUUUUUCCAAGAAAAGGUUUUAAUGAGGGAAUACUUCAUGGCUUUCCAAGCUUGACACUCACUACUGUCAAGCUUGAGGGGGAGUGUUGACAUGAAGAAUUAAACAAAGGGAAGUAGUGGAGGAAGUGGGAGAAGUGGCCAUAUCACUUACCAAAUGGGGAGGAAUGGCUAGUCCACUACUAGUUAGUGGAGGAAGUGGGAGGAGUGGCCAUAUCACUUACCAAAUGGGGAGGAGUGGCUAGUCCACUACUAGUUAUUUAUUCUUCCACCAUUGAGUGCUUAUUGCUUUUGUUUCCUUUAAAUACACCAUGUAUGUUACACAAUUAAACACACAAUUCAAUACAAACAUUUCUUUCAUUCUCUCAAUCUCACAAAUCCUCUCAUUCUCUUAAAUUCUCAAAUUUCUCUUCUCUCUCAAAUACUUACGGUUACUUCACUCCUUUUUACUUUGUUCGUGUGCUUCAUCACGGUUAAAACACUUAGAAGCUCUCAUAAUCCCACAAAUUAUAAAAACUGGGACAUUAUUAAAAAAAAAAAAAAACUAAAUCAAGUGUCGAAUAGGACAAAAUAGGACAAAACGAAAUGAUAGAAUCCACAGAUUCACCGCUCUAUCAAGCGCAAAACCAUCCAGGAAAAUUUCAACAAAAAGAAACAAAAAGCAAAUAAUCUUGAGUUUCACCAUCCAUCAUAGAAGGACUUCAAACCUGCCCCUGCAUUAAUAAGCAGAAGCAAGAAUACAUCUCAUUAGAGAACUGGUACGUAUCAACAGAGAGCUAAUAUUAAAGCAAGCUAAGUAAAAAAAAUGAUCGAUGUAAUGUGCGGUGAUACUGAACUACCCAAAAGCCUCUAAACAGAUAAAGCUAAACAGUACACAUAUCAAAUAUUUACCUCUAGCUCUCGGCGUCGCUUCCAAUACUCAUUCUUCGAUAUAGACAUUGGUAUUGGCUCCAAACAAGCAGGUAUGUCCUUCAGAAGAGUGAAUCCAUCUAGACAAUCCGACUCCAGCUCGUUUGUUAACCACUGGUCACCCGUAAUCAGCAUCACUGUGUCUCUGAACGGUUUUGGUACCUUCCCAUCUUUUGCCUCAUACAAAUUCUUAUUCAGCUCAAAUCGAUGAUCUUCGAGGUCUAAGACGUGCCACAGGAGGUCGCAUACCAUUUCUAUCUCAAGAAGUUGUGGUUUCUGUCCAGGUAGUAGAUUUCCUUCACACAGCACAAACAAAUAAAAUGGUUAGAUUUUUUUUUUUUUUUUUGCAAGAAAAAUAAAAACAAACAGAAAAAAAUUAGGUACUAAAUGUUUUUACCUGGACGAGGAGGAGUAAUCUGAGAACCUCUACAAUUUCUACAAAACAUCUUUCUUAAGGCAAACCGCUUCACUUUCACUUUAAGCCUCUCUAGAACAUUCCUAGUUUCUCGUUCGUGAGGAUCCGUAGGGAGAUAAGGAUCCGUAGAGAGAUAACAAGUUAUCUUGUUGGUCAUGUACUUACUACCAUCUGCUGCAGGUGGAAGACCCCCUACUAUGCUUUUGAUCUCCUCCACAAGCCCUUUUGCAGUCUCAAAAUCCCUAAAUUUGGUGGUUUGCAUGUCAACAUAUACGUUGACAGCAUUCAAGUUGAAGUUGACUUAUUGAUCCAUAGUGGAACACCUUAGCAGAUCUGAUGAGAUCAAAGUUAAGCUCACCAGGAUGGAGUAUCAUGUGGGCGCUAGGGUUCCGGUAAAACAUGAACUCACGUUCUCCAUCGGAUCUAGUGUCACGAAGGCGAGUGUCGCUCCAGUGUCAAAGUUGAUUCCCUUAGGAGAGACACUGUUUUGGGUUUCAAAUGGGAGAACGUAGAUAUUUUUUUCACAUUUCUUCAAAUACCAACUCAUAAGGUGGUAUUUGUAUCUGUUCAAUUUUAACUUUAAAUAUUUUUUUGGUAUAACUCAAAAUAACUACGAGAGAUUUUACUAGUGAAAUCCUCAUUUUUCAAUAAGGGGAAAUUUUAAAGAGUUUUUAUAAAUGGCUAGUCCAAUAAGGGUGAAUUUGAUAGAGUUUUGAAAAAUCCUACAGCCAAUGAGAAGAUAUUUGGAUAAAACUAGAAUUUUCUCAAAUCAUCAAUUCAAUAAGCCCCCCCCUAGGCGUUAAAAGGGAAGCUUUUAAGCGGUAGGAAAGAGGAAGGAUUGGUUAUGUAGGCUAGAAACGAAGAACAUGGUGGAAGGAAAAGAGAUUUAGUUUAGGGCUAUGAAAAAUCUAAUUAAGUUGUUAUUCCUGAAAAGCUAGUUAUGCAAUAAAGCAAAAAAAAAACUUGAAAAUUUAAAAUUGCGACUCAACUCAACUUUAUUAGUAUAGAUAGAUAGAUAGAUGGUCUAAUUAUAUAAUAAAUACAAAGAAAACAUAAUUGUAUAGAUAUAUAAAAAAAAAUGGAUCAAAUAUAUAAAUUUAUUUAAAUCAAUACUAUAUGUUUUAAAUUUUAAUUUUAUAAAUUCACACCUAGCAAAAUAUUAAUCUGCUUGUAGGUUCUUUGUACAACAAAUAAUGAUACGAGGCCCUUUGACGGGGCCCAUUGGGCUAUUACGAUCGAUGGAGGUUUUGGCAAUGGAUAUCGAAACACUCGUUAGGGUUUUUACAGAAGAAAAAAAGAAUGCACAGAUCUGACGGUUGAGAGUAUGCUUAUCUGAGAUCCAAGGGUUAGAAAACAGGCGAGGCACAGCGUAAUAGAUCUCUCUGCGAGGGGGGACGCAGUCACAAGAAGUAGAAAAAAAAAACCCUCUCUCUCUCAUUCAAAGGCUCUCAUCUAACCCUAAUUAUAGAGAGAGAAAGUCUCCAAUCCUCAUCGGUGGAACCAUGGACGAAGAAGGCGAGACCAUCUUAUUUUAUUCCGGUAAGAUCUCUUUCUUAACAGGAAUUUGUUUGUUAGAUUUCGAUCUGUAGUAAAUUCGUUUACGCCUUGUCCUUUUUUUUUGUGUGUGUGAAAGUGAAUGAUACAUUCGUUUGCUGGAACAUUGAUGAUUGCCCAGUCCCUGUGGAUACCGAUCUUGGUUCUAUUGUUAAUAAUUUCGAACAUGCUCUUCACCAAAUGGGCUUUGCGGGGAGAAUGAGCAUCAAUGUGGAUUGUAAGAAACUCAACUCCAACGAAGAAGCCUUGUUUAAGGCCGGAAGAAUUUUCUACUUACCCUAUGGUAAAUUCCUCAGUCGCUUCUAUUUAAUUAUACGCCUAAGUUAUUAUUUAACUAAACUAAAAAAUGUUUGAUUUAUUAUGUAGGCGAAACAAUGUACGGCAAUUUUGGUACUAGGCCUACUCUGGAUAUGACUUUUUAUAUGCUCUCUGUAUUAGAAGAGACUGCACCAAUACUUGCAAAUUUAGCCGUAGUCGUCAAACCAAAUAUUGAUCCAGGUAGUGAGUUACAUAGGGUUCUGCACUGUUUGAAAUCGAGGGGUCACAAUGUUCUCCUAGUAGAGCUGCCACCUGAUGAAAAGUGUCUCUUUAGUGUUGACUCUCUACUUAAGAAUUCACGAUUUUUGGGUGGAGGAAAGCCUAGAGCCAAAAAAGAGUUAACUCCUGAAGAGAUGCGGGAGAUGCAGCGUCCGUAUGACUCGGAGGAGGAGGAGGAGGAGGAUGGUAGUUAUGAUGUUAGCGAUCUCUCCAACCAGAAAAUGUUAGAUUUCUCAGGUAAGACCAUCUCAAAUUGUUUGUUUGUUUUAGAUUUCAUCUGUCAUUUUUAAAAAUUAUAAAUGGUAUUUAGCCUCCCUCCCUCUUUUGCAUCGCUCAGAGCGUAUCAAACACGUCAAAGGGCCUAGGACAGUCAUCUUCUGGGACGCCAUUGAUUGCCCAUUCCCUCUUUGUUUCUCUCCUGAACAGAUCUUCCAGAAAAUCAAAUCAGUUCUUAUGAAAAAAGGUACGAAUGAUAAUAUUACAAUCUGGGCUUAUGUCGAUGAACGGUCUUGGAGGGAUAAGUGUUUGUGUAACAAGACUUGGGAUUCAAGAAUCUACUUUCUUCCCGCAGGUGAAUUCCAACCUUUUUCUUUGUGUGUAUGUAAUCUAUAUAUGUCUCACUUCCGUUGAUGUUUUCUCUUUUUUUUAUCCAGGGGAUAGACGUGUCAGAAUGUUAAACGACAUGUAUCUACAGUCUAGAGACGCUCCUCUGCACCAUUGUCCAGGACUUUUGAUCCUAGUCUCGAAUCAUUUCUCAGGUGACCCCUUCUACAUGGAGUUGUUUCAGGACAUGAAGCACCGAAAUUACCAUCCUUUCUUGAUAACUCCGAGGGAGCACAGCAACAUAUCAGAAAGCCCUGAUGAAUGGCCACAGUCUCUAUUUAAUAGACCUCGCAAAAGCUCACAAGGACCUCUUCCCAAAAAGCCUAAACUGGAUGCUGCUUAAAGUAGCACAUGCCCAGGGCUGAUGAUACUCUGGUUAUUAUGAUGUUGGAUCUUGCUUGCUUCACAAGAUCUAUUGUUGCAUCCUGAUAUUUAUAUCAAAAACUCUUGUUCUUAUUUUGGGUUUACGCUUUUGUUUAUUUUAAACUGCAAACUCUGUUGUGACAAAUUUUAUUGGCUACACUAUCCUUGCUGCUGGCCAAGGAGUUGAACAUGCAAGGAAAAGAUAAGAUUUUUCUUUAAAGAGAAAGUGCUAAUGAUGAAAUUGGCUUGUGGCAAAGCAUAAUCAAGCAUCCAUUCCUUAUUCACAUUGUUCCAUCCCUUCACUCUUUUCUCCUUAGUCUAUAGGCUCUUCACUGACUUGAGAGCUUCUUUCUAAUAGUUCUCUAGAACAGAGGAGUUUCAAGCAUAACCAAGGAAGUCUGGCUCCAAUACAAUGGCAAGAUCAAGGAAAAGGUCAAUUGUCAAAAACUCACAAAAGGUAAUCAGAUACCUUCGUUUCAAGGUAGUUUCAAGCAAAGGUCAAGGAACUCCGGUAGUAGGACAAAUGCAAGGUCAUGAAAGUUAAGUGCCUUCAUCUCAAAAGAGUUACAACCAAGGCCAGGGGACACCAAAUCCAUGUACAAAGCCAAGGUCAAGGAAGUCAAACACCCUUCUAUCAUAUUGGUUAUAGCCAAGUACAGGGGGCUCAUCUCAAGGAUCACCAAGCAGUUACUCCCAAGGAGGGAGCAGUACCCAAGGGCCAUCAGCUUUUCGAAGUUAAUUAUACCACAUUUAUUAACUUUAUUUUGCUAACAAAAGUUUGUGUGAUGUAAUUAAUACCUAAAUUUAUAUUUUCGCGACAAUAUGCCAAUCAAAUAUAUAACUGACGAUUAAAACCAUUUAAUAGAAAAAUAAAUCCAAAUUCUAUUUUGAAAAUAUAAUAAUUAGAUUUUAAAGUAAUUCCAAGUCAAUACUCCCAAAAAAAAACUAAUAUUUUCACGAAAAUACGGCAAUCAAACAUAUAACUUUUUAUGGGUAAAUUUGUGAAGUUUUAUUAUCAAUGUAUAAUUCAUAAUUUAAAUAAAUUAGUUACAAAAAGAAGUCAAAAUUAUAUUUGGAAAAUACAUAUUGCUUAGAUUGUAAAGUUAUUUAUCUUCUAUACUAUUAUUUAUGAAGUGAAUUUGAUUACUUGUCAUAUUUUUCAUGAUUGUAUAUAUACUUUUCAUGAACUUUAGAAAAUUUAACUAAUAAAUCGAUAUUAACAAUUGAUAUUAAUCAUAUCUACUGAUAGUAUCAUAAUUACGUUUAUCUUAAAUUUUGUUUAUGUAAUGACUACUAUUAUUGUCAGUUUCUUUGAUUCUUAUUGAAAAUAUGAUCCAAAUAAUUAUUGCAAUAUUAAAGUAAGAUUAAAGAUAAAGCAUUAUGAAAAAUAUGUCGCAAAAUAUAAAUUAUAUACUUAUGGUAAAUACCAUGUAUAUAAUAGGACAAUUCUCUCAAAUAGACAUUUUUAAGUUUUUGUCACAAAUAUAGCCCUCGAACACUAAAAUGACCAAAGUGAUAUUUUUAUUUUGAAAAUUUUAUUAUUUUAUUAUUUUAUUAUUUUUUAAAUUUUUAAAUCAUAUCCCCAAAACCCACUCCUCAACUAUAAAUCCUAAACCCUAAACUCUAAACUCUAAACUCUAAACCCUAAACCUUAAACCCUAAACCUCACUCCUUAACUAUAAACCCUAAUGUCUAGAUUAAUUAACUCUAGAGGUAUAAAUGUAUAUUUACUUCUUUUGAUAAAACAUUUAAGCCUAUUUUAGUUAUUUUAUUUUUAAGGUCUAUAUUUGUGACAAAAAAAGAUUUUAGGUCUAUCCUAAAGAAUUUCUCUAUAUAAUAUUAAACAUUCUUAUUCCUAACCUUAAAUAUAUUACUAUGUAUUUGUACAUGACAAGCAUCAAAAUGACAAAUGAGUUCAGGCUAAUAAUGAAUUUAUCUAUAAAAUUUCAAAUUUUAUCAAAAUAAUAUAUGUAAAACCAAAAUAUUAAAUAUUUUAUAAACUACAAAAUUAACUUAAAAUAUUAAAAAUAUAUAGAAGCAUGAAAAACUAGGGUUAAAACAUUAAAUAACACUUAAAAUUUGACAAAUAAUAAACAUAAUAUAAAUAUAAUCUAAGAGAAUACAUAGGUAAUAUUUUGUAAUUCAAUAUUUCUUUUUUUGUGUUUUUGUCUCACUGAUUUUAAAAUCUAAAUCAUAAAGAAUAUAUAAUGUUUGUUGACUGUAGUCUUAAGUAAAAAAAUGCUAAUAAGUACUUAUGCACUAUUUGAUUACUGCAACAUAAAUACCAAUCAAACUUCCAUGAAACAACAAAAAACAAAUUUCUAUUCCUUAAAUAAGUUUCAAUCAAUAUAUAAAAAAUUCUACAGUUGCCCUAAUUAUUUUUACUUUUAUGUGUUUCAUUAAAUUAAAACAUCAAUCAAAAUCUAUGCAACGCACGGAUCUAUACUUAGUAAAUACUAAUAAAGUUGAGUUGAGUCUCUUGUAUGAACAAUUAGUGAUACCUGACAAUUCUAAAUUCUCAAGUUUUUUUCUUAUUGUAUAACUAAUUUUUAGAAAACCAGGCCUUAAUUACAUUUUUCAUAGCCCUCAACUAAGCUCUUUUCCUCCCACCAUGUUCUUCGUCUCUAGCAACAGAACCAACCCUUCUUCUUUUCCACAACUUAAAAGCUUCCCCUUUAAUGCCUAAGAACAUGAUUAUUUGGGAGUUCUUAGGGUGAGGUUCUUAACAGAAUAUAAGAACCCGUCUCUUAAUUUUUAACUAAAAAAGCUAAGAACCGGCUCUUAAAUAAGUUUUAAGAGCCGGUUCUUAGCUUUUUUAGUUAAAAGUUAAGAGACGGAUUUUUAUAUUCCGAUAAGAACUCCACCCUAAGAACCCUCCAAUAAUCAUGCUUUAAGAUCCAAAUUUAACACUUUUUAAACAAAUAUCAUUAUGUAUUAACGCCUAAGACCCAAAUAUAGAUACAUAUAAUAUUAUCCUUUUUAGACUACUUAAUAUUAUUUCAUCUAAUUAAUAAUGCUCUAUUAUUUAAAGAAGGUGAAUUCACGUAAGAUAGUCUAUGCAUUUAUGUUUUAUAAUUAUCAAUGAUAUUUAACUUUUUAAUAUAUUAGGGGCAGGCCCGCCCUACGGUCGGGUAUGUCUACGUAAAAUUAUUUUAUAUAAAAUGUAUUUUAAUUUUAUAAUAUUUUUGAAAAUUAUCUUUAAAUUAAAUAUAGUAAAUAUUGUUUUUUUCUAAGAUCAUAUUGUAGAUUUGUUAAUUUUGUUCCAAUAACUCAUAAAGAAUACUUUUUUCAGACCACUUAUCAAACCAAAAGGAAGUGUUGCAACUAUUUCCCACUUCAAUCUUAUAAAACAUCUUCGCAACAUCUCUAAGCUUCGACAUUUUCCUCCGAACUCUUUCUCUUGAGUAGAUUGUUUUUUAUCCAUUUCCUCCGUAGAGAUUCCCCAGUCAACAUCCUCCAGAUUAGCUUCAGUCCAUUCACCACAUUCACUUCUUUUAAAGCUCCAGAAAUAAAAAUUUAACGUUCGGUCUUCAGUUCGUGGUACCAAGUCGUCUUCUUCUCUGCAUCAUCCUCUUAUCUCCGCCGUGCUUUGCUCUCCGCGUGGCCUCAAGCUUCGCCGAGAUUCUCCUCCAUCGCCACGAUGUCACCAGACCAAGCACAGCGAGCUCCUCCACCGCCGCAGCCAUUGUCGUUCUGUCCAAGCACGGCGAGCUCCUCCACCGCUGCAGCCAUCGUCGUUCUAUCCAAGCUUCCGGUGUCGUGAAUAAAUCUCCAAGCCGCAGCCAUCGUCGUCCAGCUCCGGAGGCGACAUCGCAUCAAGCGGAGCUUUCACGAAGAGCAACAAUGGUGAAUUGUAGAGUAUUUUCACAAUUGGUCCUUCAACCGUUUGGUUCUUCUCUUCAUGGCCCAAGUUAUCAAAAUAGAAUAUACAUCCUACGAAUCAACUCCUGAACUUCUGAUUUUACAAUCUAACCCAAACGAAUAUUCUGAUUUUUGCAGCAUUGGUCCCUGAAUCUUGAUAACUUCAUAUUUGACCCCAGACUUCCAUAAUGUACAAUUUAACCCAUGAUUAUCGUCCCAAACUUCCAAUUGUGCACUCCAAACCCUAAUGCACAUGAAUGAACAAAUAUAUACGAUGUAGACACCUAUAUGCAAUCUAAAGUGAUCAUAACAAGCUAAAGUAUGAACCUAAAACUCAUCAAAAUCACUAGAUAUCAACAUGCAAUCGCGGCAUUGUUUUUUUUUUUUUUUUUUUUUCCGUGGGGGAUCCCAGGCGGUAAGCCCAGACUAAUCCCCACGAGGCCUUCCAUCCGGGCACGCAUGGUUAUAGGCGGGAAGGUGGCCAAGGCGACUCGAACCCAGGGCGGGCACUCCAGCUGGAGUUCCAUUACCACUAGGCCAAGAGCUCUUGGUUAAUCGCGGCAUUGUUAGCCAUUGCAUAUUAAUCUUUGCACGAUCUGCUUGAGGCGGUUCAAACACUUUCUCACAACAGCAGCAAGGUCUCAAUUGUGCCCAAAAUGAUUUCUAGCAACACUGGUUCGAACCAAGAAUACUCACUCUGUCUCUAAGAACCAUAGCAUUGAUUCUCUCAUUUGUUAUGUAAUAUUUCACCGUUCUGCAACAGUGAGUCCUGGAUUAGUUGUUGCAGUAGCAGCUGCUUGCAUGUUGUAGCUUUUGGUCACAUACUUAAGACUAGUGUUCUUAAUGUUUUCUGAAGUCAUACCAUAUUUGCUAACUUUCGGUUGCUAUCAAAAGAAUCUGUGUGAUGGAAUUUUACCUUGUAAGUACCUAAUUAUAUAUUUCACGAGAAUAUGCCAAUCAAAUAUAUAACUGAUGAUUACAACCAUUUUUUACAAAAAAUCCCAAUGUUAUAUUUUUAAAAUAAAAUAAUUAUAUUUUAGAGUUAUUUGAAGUCAAUACUCCCACAAAACCCCUAAAAAUUCAAAUACUUUUUGGGAAAUACCAUAGGAUAGCAGUAAAAAAGUUUAUGUCACAAAUAUAGACUCUAAGAAUCAAAAUGACCAAAAUGUUUCAUUAAAGAGGUAAAUAUACACUUAUACCCCUAGGGUUAACUAAUUCAAACCUUAAGGUUUAGAGUUAAGGGGUGGAGAUUUGAGAUUGAAGUUUAAAAUUUUAUAAAAUAAAAAAUAAAUAUUAAAAAUUUGAAAAUAAAAAAUUUAAAAAUAGUUUCAAAAAUUAUUUUCGAAUUACAAAAAGAAAAUUUGAAAAGAAAAUAAAACAAAUUUCGAAAAAAAAAUUCAAAAUCUUUUGUUUUUUAAAAAGUUCAAAUUUGAAAAUAUAUAAUCUAAAACUAUAUUAAAAAGUAUUUUUUUUUAUUUUUUUUAUUUUUUAUUUUUUUUAUAUAUCUAGGGUAUUAGUGUCCUUUUACCUAUUAAAUGAAACAUUUUGGUCAUUUUUCUCCUUGUGAUCUAUUUUUGUGAUCAAAACUUGAAAAUUGUCUAUUUAGGAGAAUUACCCAUACUUUUUGGUAAAUAUGUUAAUAUUUAUUGUCAAUUUAUAUUAGAUAACUUAAACCAACUAUUUACACAAAAUAAGUCAAAAUUAUUUUUGAAACAUACAUAUUGCUUUGAUUUGAUUUUAGAGUUAUUUGUAGUCAAUAGCCCACAGGAACCUUUUAUUUACAAAACAAAGACACAUACUUUAUGAGACUUAACUCGGCCCAGUAAUUUAGUCUUAAGACUUCAGGCCCAUUAUUUGAACUGUGCCACGUGGCCUUUCGCUAAUAAAAACCCUGAACCCUCGUUUCAUUUCAGGAGACAUCUUCACUCUCAUCGUCGGAGAACUGUCACCUUCAGCGUCAGCGGAGGUCUGCUCGCUUUUAGUUUUUUUCACUCUCUCUCCACUCUUCUUCUGUUUAUUUUCUUCCCCUCUUGUAUGAGUUAGUGCUUACUGAAUCAAAUUUCUGCUGACUUCCUCUCUGUUUCCUAGGGUUAAUUUUAGGGUUACUCGUUAUGUCAACGGACUCGGAAGCUGAUUUUGCCGUCAAUGCGUCGACUUUCGAGAGCGGAGAGUCUGAUUCCGAGAGUGAGGGCACAGGUUUAGAUGCAGAGUCUGAGGAAUGCUCGCAAAGAUCGAAACUUGAGAGUCUGAAGAAGCUAUCUGAUUCAGAUUUGGUUUGGGGCAAAGUAAGCAGCUUUCCAUGGUGGCCUGGCCAAGUCUUUCUCAACUCAUCAGUUGCCUCCAAAAAGGCCAAGAAGCACUUCAAGAAAGGAGCUUUCUUGGUCGCCUACUUCGGAGAUUGCAGUUUCGCUUGGACCGAUGUAUCAAAGAUUAAGCCUUUCCGUCAGCACUUCUCGCAGAUGGUGGAGCAGAGCGACUCCCCUGAGUUUCGUAACGCUGUUGGUUGUGCUUUGGAAGAGGUUUCGAGGAGAGUGGAGUUCGGUUUGUCUUGCGGUUGUGUCUACCAGGAAGCUUAUGAUAGAGUCAAGACUCAGAGCGUGAUGAACGCUGGGAUUAGAGAGGAGUCAAGGGUGAGAUACGGUGGAGAUGAGGCGUCGAGCGCUGGCCUUUUCGAACCUGCGAAGCUUGUGGAGUAUAUGAAGCGUUUAGCUUGUUGUCCAAGGUAUGAUGAGAGUGAUGAUAAGCUGUUGUUUGUGAGUAACCGAGCUCGGUUAUUUGCGUUUCAGCAGUGGACAAGCUGUAUUAACUUUCCUAGAUACGAAACGGUUCUUAAGGAUGUGUCUGAUGCAAAGAGAGAAGAGGAGACUUUGUCAGAUUGUAUUGCAGAGAGAAGCAAAUCAGUUGGGAAGAAGCGUAAGGUUGAGUCUUUGGAAUCAGGUAAGCCUGAGAAAAAGAUCAAGACGGUGGCUGAACCAUCAUGUUUUUUAAUGGGAGCUAUCCCUUUGAGGAUGGAAAGCGAGGUGAUGACUCAUACACUGAACCCUUUGGGUGGUGAUUCUAACUCUAUUUCAAAGCCUGAUGAGAUGAUCUCAAGCCUAAAGGGAACACCUAAACCUCUCAACUUAGAGCACUCCAAUUAUGAAGAUUUUGAGAAGUUUAUAGAGGAAACGUCUUGUGGUAAUCUCAGCCACGACUCGGAGAAGGCGAGUGUACCUAGUGAUGUGAAAGAAUCUUCAGACCAGCCUGAGUCAGGCUCCAAAGUGGUGCAAACCGGUGUCAAAGACUGUUCAGCAGAUUCAUUGGCAGCACCCAAUGCAUUGAUCCUCAAGUUUGCUAGUUCAGGUUCCGUUCCAUCCGCAGAAAAGCUGAACAGCAUAUUCAACCGUUAUGGUCCCCUCAGAGAAGCGGAGACUAGGGUCAUGAAGAAAGGCAAGAAAGCUAGAGUGAUUUUCAGAAGAGGUGAAGAUGCAAAGACUGCCUUCAGCAGCUCCGGGAAGUACAGCAUCUUUGGACCUUCUCUUCUAAGCUACAGCCUCAAGUAUGUUGCCCCCCCCCAAGCCAAAGAGAACAACGACAUGUACCAAUCAAGUGGAGCUGCUCAAGUGGAAUCUCAUAACAAGCUCGCUAUUGGAAUGAACAGCACCGCUUCAGCUCAACUCUUUGAAGAGCAUGUGGACGACGGUUCUUACCCAUCUAGUCUUGAACCAGUAGUAGCAGAAGACGUUGCCUGGGAUAAUCCUACUGAUAGUGGUAGUGGUGAUCAAACCACGAUUACGUUUGGGAGUUUUACCGUUCCGGUAAACACCAGGGGAAGGUCCGGUUUUGAUAAAAGCAUGUCUGAGGCAGGAAGCUCCAGCAAUGAGGAGUAUGAAAAAAAAAAUGACAACGAAGGAUUUCAGGUUGUAGGUUGUCCCUACGAGUUCAACAACUUCAACUUGAAUGCUGUCAACGUAUAUGUUGACAUGCAAACCACCAAAUUUAGGGAUUUUGAGACUGCAAGAGGGCUUGUGGAGGAGAUCAAAAGCAUAGUAGGGGGUCUUCCACCUGCAGCAGAUGGUAGUAAGUACAUGGCCAACAUGAUAACUUGUUAUCUCUCUACGGAUCCUUAUCUCCCUACGGAUCCUCACGAACGAAAAACUGAGAAGGUUCUAGCGAGGCUUCGAGUGAAAGUGAAGCGGUUUGCCUUAAGAAAGAUGUUUUGUAGAAAUUGUAGAGGUUCUCAGAUUACUCCUCCUCGUCCAGGUAAAAACAUUUAGUACCUAAUUUUUUUCUGUUUGUUUUUAUUUUUCUUGCAAAAAAAAAAAAAAAAAUCUAACCAUUUUAUUUGUUUGUGCUGUGUGAAGGAAAUCUACUACCUGGACAGAAACCACAACUUCUUGAGAUAGAAAUGGUAUGCGACCUCCUGUGGCACGUCUUAGACCUCGAAGAUCAUCGAUUUGAGCUGAAUAAGAAUUUGUAUGAGGCAAAAGAUGGGAAGGUACCAAAACCGUUCAGAGACACAGUGAUGCUGAUUACGGGUGACCAGUGGUUAACAAACGAGCUGGAGUCGGAUUGUCUAGAUGGAUUCACUCUUCUGAAGGACAUACCUGCUUGUUUGGAGCCAAUGCCAAUGUCUAUAUCGAAGAAUGAGUAUUGGAAGCGACGCCGAGAGCUAGAGGUAAAUAUUUGAUAUGUGUACUGUUUAGCUUUAUCUGUUUAGAGGCUUUUGGGUAGUUCAGUAUCACCGCACAUUACAUCGAUCAUUUUUUUUACUUAGCUUGCUUUAAUAUUAGCUCUCUGUUGAUACGUACCAGUUCUCUAAUGAGAUGUAUUCUUGCUUCUGCUUAUUAAUGCAGGGGCAGGUUUGAAGUCCUUCUAUGAUGGAUGGUGAAACUCAAGAUUAUUUGCUUUUUGUUUCUUUUUGUUGAAAUUUUCCUGGAUGGUUUUGCGCUUGAUAGAGCGGUGAAUCUGUGGAUUCUAUCAUUUCGUUUUGUCCUAUUUUGUCCUAUUCGACACUUGAUUUAGUUUUUUUUUUUUUUUAAUAAUGUCCCAGCUAGUCUUGAAGAUACCGUAACCAAGCUAAAUUAAAAAAAAAGGCAUCACAAAUCCUUUCCCUAGUAUAUUAAGUUUAAAAAAUAGAUAUAUAUAUACUUCUAUCGAAAAUACAAUAUAGAACAUAUUUUCGGUCUCAACUACUCUCGAUCGACAUUACAUGUGAUAUAAUGAAUCCAAUGGACAAGCAUUGUUUGGUUCUAUAUGUUAUUGUUCUCGACUAUAUUCGUAGUCUUCCAUCGAAAAGCAUUGAUGUAUAUAGGCUCUGUCAAUUCCUUCAUAUAACUCAUUAAAAAAUUUGUUAUUUCAAUCCCACGGAAAUUUGGUUAAGUUUGUGGGGAUGUCUUGUUGAUAUAAGAAUACGGAUAUACUUAUUAUGGAAUACAAUUUUUAAUGGUCAGGAAGAAUUACGCUUAAAUGUCGAGUGGUUUUGAGACAUGCAUGAUUUGUUUUUCUUUUUCUAGUUAGGCCAUCGUCGUUUACUUGUCGCGCGACCUUUCACCUGUGAUCGCAUGUCGCAUGUUGUUGUUCGUUUUGCUGUCGCGUAACAUGCGACUUGCGAUUGGUCGCAAGUCGCAGGUUGUUGUUCGUUUUGAUGUUGCACGACUGAUCGCGCGACCAGUCGCGGGUUCCAAUUCAAGUCGUCCGAAAAAACAACGACUAAAAAUUAAGAAAAUUUUGAUCGAACGAGUGGUCGCAGGUCGCAUAUCGCAGGUCGCGCGACACGUAAACGAACAUAGUUUUAGUCGCAGGUCGCAGGUUUAGUCGCAGGUCGCGCGACACGUAAACGAACAUAAUCUCAGGUUGGGUAAACGGCCUUACCUAUUCCUAUGAUAUGUCUUGUCUACUGUUGCGUGUCUAUGCCUUUAGAUAUGAAAACAUAAAUUUAUCUUUAUGAAAUUUUAUUUUACGAGAUGCGAUCUUUGUAGUAGCAUAUAUCAGGUAUAUAGAUGCAUCUGUUUACUACUAGAAUCAAGGUUCAGUACUAGAGAAAUAUAUAAGAAGUCUUACAAAAUGACUAAAUGAAAACAUAAUAAGAAUUGGUUAUAUAUAGCCAACUUUAAUUUGACUUUCAUCUUAUAAUUUGGUCGGUAUGCCCCAACCAAAUCUAUCCCUUUCAUUCUAAGCAUCGUGUGACAUAUAUAAUAGUUAAGUCAAGGUUUAUCUCUCAUAAAACUAACUCAAAAGAAUUAGCUAACCUCAUGAUUACCUUCUUCGUUGGAAAUUAAUUACUCACUCAUGAUUCUCUCCUUUAUUUAGCCUCAAACCAUAACUCUCCCACAGAUUCUGAUCUCCGUCUCCCAUGAAGAACGGGAAGCAGUUUGUAUUAGCGGCCAUUGCACCGCUCGGGUUUCCAGCGGCUGCGUUUACAUUUGAUGUUGAAGAACCCACAUUGCCUUGUUCAUUCAUCUGAUGACGCUGAUCAUUAUCAUUAUAUCCACUUUCUUGAUUGUUGUAGAUCGUAUUUUCUUCGGUUGUUGGAUAGUAAACGCCGCAGCUCGACGAAUUGUCCUUCCUUUUCUUGUUCAUUUUCUUCUUUCCAUUGCUUAUCCACUCCCAAUUUUCCUUGCAUAACAAGGCACUUUUCUGAUCGAACCCUAACUGAGCCAUUUUCCCUGCGACUUCCUCCCAUAAAGAAUCAUCCGAGCAUCCUCCCAAUAUCUCUUGAAACGCCGAGUCCAUACUAGUUCUUAUCUCCAUAAGCUUUGUGAUCUCUUGCUCAUUCCAGCAGCUACCACUUCCUUCAAUAGAAACAUUGUUAGUCAUUGUUUGGUCGCUUUCAUUGUCAUUCUGAUUCUCACUGUUCUUUUGGAUCUCAUUAUUACCAUUAAUCCUCUCCUCUGGGGAUGAACAUAACGGCUUUAUUAACGUCUUUCCGGUCAAAAACUGCAAAGCCUCAAUCACCGCCACAUCCCUAGCUUCCAUCCUCUCCCUCUCUUUAGACAAAAAAAAAGCUCUUUAUCGAUCCUCGCAGCCUCACUCUUUCUCCAUUCCUCUUCUUUCAUCAUCCUUCGUUCCUCUUUGUCUUCAAUAACCUUUGUCAACUUCUCAAGCCAAACAUCUUGCCUCUCCAUCAACCUUUUCAUGUUCACAUCAAUGAACUCCUUAAUCUUAUUUUUCCAACUCCUCUUUUUCCUUCUACUACUAGAAUCAUUCCCCUCAGAAGACGAAGUCACCAACUCCAGCUCGGAGGAAUUGUAGUUGUUAGAAAGGCUUAGGCUUUGACGAUGGAAACCAUGAACACUAUCAACGUUAUGGAUGUUAGACGUUGUUGUAGUAACGUCGUUCAUGGCGUUUUGAGUGUGGAAACCAUGAAGAGCAUUGCUCAUGAACUGUGUGUUAUGACUGGGACAAGGAACCAAGUUGUUGGAAUCACCGUAGAGCGCCUCGAGCUGCCGGAAAAAUCUAUAGUGUUUACCGUCUUGUCUUCCGGCUUUGCCUUCUCUAGUCUUCUUAUAGUAUUUGUAAAGGUUCUCAAACUUCUCUCUGCAUUUUUUCCCACUCCUUUGGUAUCCAUGUUCCUCAGACAUAAUCCUAAAUGUUAAAGCAAAAUAAGACUACAUGUACAAUACUUCAUGUUUCGAUUAAAAUUUAAAGCAGUACCCUAAUCUUGAAACUAGGUUUGAAUCAUGACUGUUCAUAAGAUAUUCAUAUAUUCAUCGUUUUCAUGCAUAAACGUAUACAGAAUAACAUUGUAUGGUCUAUUCGCUUAAGUUUAGAUAAUAACUUAAAAGUUUGUUUUUCUUACAUAACCAAGAUUAUUUUGGAGACUUACUAGUGGACUAAUAGUUUAGCACAAGAACGUGUUUCUAUGCAUAGUUACACAAAAGAAGAGGGUACAUAUCUCCUGAAACUAAGAAAGAUGAAUCAGAAGUUAUCAGUAAAAAGGGAGAAAACUAAAAUCAAAGUCAAAGAUGAUAAUAGAACUCUUUAUUUUACUAUUUUCUAUGUUUAACCUUUUGGGGUCUUAAAGCACUUGCUAAUGUCUUAACUGAAACUGCCAAGGUCUGGUCAUUCUCUCGACCAAACCAAAACGACUCCUAGAGAAAUUGUUUUAAACUGACCACUCUGCAGAUACACAUUAAUAUGUGUGUGUGUAUAUUUACAUAUAUACGCGCGAAUGUAAUAUUUAUAUGUGUCCCUAUAUUGAUCAGCUCAAAAAGUAUGUUGAAAUUGAGGAGCCCAAGGGAAGUGUUGAGAUCACAUUCUUUCUAGUCAUUAAUGCAGAAAAAGGUUUAACUUGUCUUCGGGAUUAUCACUUGAAAGGUCUAAUUUUUAACAAGAAAGCGUAUGAAAGGUCAAAUCUUUUCAAAUCUGAAAAAAACUCCGGAAAACAAAAUGCUUAAAUUUUAUUAAUAGUUUUUUGAAGAUGUAGCUGUUUAGUGUUUAGAAAUGAAUGUUUUCUUCCAUUGGAAAUUUAUUAAUUUUCGCCUAAUUGACUAACUUUUUUAAAUAGGAUACAGUGUCGUCGAUGAAUCAAAAGACUCUUAUGGUAUGAAUUGGUUUGAGAAAUGUGCUUAAUAUUUUUUAAUAUUUUUAUGAAAAAUAGCGGAAAAUAAAAAGAGAGAGAGAGAGAUUAGGGUUAAGUGAAGCAAACCUAGAAACUUCAUCCCAUAGAGGUCCCUUUUGAUUAGCUUCUUUGAACUUAUGAUCAAGACGAGAUCUAAUCUCCAGCAGAGUUAGGGUUUCUUGUCUCGGCCAUCUCCCCGUUCCUCCACCAUCUCCUCCUCCACCGCCGCCGAUACCUCCUCCGCCACCGCCUCCCCGCCAAACCCAACUGCUCCACCACUGCUGCUAGCGUUUAAGUUACUGUUAUUUCCAGCCGUCGAAGAACUCCCACCCAGUCCAUGUAUGCCACGUGGUAAGAAACCCAUCUCCUGAUCUGUAGUGAACUGAUGUAGCCGGUGGUGUUGCUGCGGCGGAGGGGGCGCAGCCGGAGCUAGGUUGAAGCCAAAGAAAUCAGAGGGAAAAUGAGAAGAGGUCGACGGUGAUUCCGUCGUAGUCACCCUCCCUCCGCCUUGCAUGAGCUGGCGGAGCUCCGGUACACCGUACUGAGGAUGAUGAUCGUCCAUUUUUACAUUUAUAUUCAGCUUAAAGAGAAGGAAAAAGUAAAGGCUCUCUACCUUUUAAUUCCAAAGAAAGAGAGAAAAGAUUGAAGCUUUUUUAGAGAGAGAGACUGAUCGUGUAGUUCAUGAAAAAGGUCGAAUGUAAGCUACAGAUAUGGUCCCAUGACUUAUAACAUUUUUUUAUUUUUCUUGUUGAAUGAGUGUGGGCGAGAGAGAGGGAAGAAAGCGAUCACUACAAGAAAGAGUAGCUGACUCCGAGAAAAACUUCCGACAAUUCAAGUUGUGGGUAAGUUAGCGACUGCGAGAUUUCCGACAAAUGAGCUUUCCGACAAAUGAGCUUCUAGGUAGUUUCCGACAGUUGACCGAUGACUACUCAUUUCCGAGACCCAAACUCCGACGUCUUGCGGUUUCUCGGCAACACAUCGGACUUAACUAAUUCCGACGAGAUACCCGUAAAUGUUACCGUCGCUAUUUGCUACUCUUUCUUGUAGUGGAUGUAUGGUACGUAUGGAUACUACAUACAGAUCUUUUUGUAUGAGAAUUUGUAUGUAUAUGUCUUUAAGUUUUUGUACCAUGUCCAUGUGUCUUAGUUCUCAUUAUCUCUAUCAAAUAAUUUGAAUACAUGCAUUGAUGUAUAUAUAUUCAUUUCAAUGUAAGGUUAGAUACAAUAAUAGUUCGAGCCAUCGAGGUAUUCUUCUUUAAAUCUUGGCUGUAGGAUUGGUUUUCAAAUUAUGAUCUGAAGACACUUUUCCAUUUCCUCUGUAGAUUUUUUACUACCGAGUUUAAUUAUUAUUCAAUAAAAAUAAUAUUAUUUAUAUAGCUCAUGAUAAAACUGUAGUUGCUGGGUGGAUAUUUUUACUUUUCUAUUAUAUGUUUCUAAAAGAAUGAUGUAUGUGACACUUUAACAGCUCCCCUCCCAUGUUGGCCUUUGGCGGUGGAGAUGCUGGUGCUUGGAGAGAAGAAGAAGAUCGAUCAUAUGUGUUCUUAAAUAGAAUGUUAUGUCAGAAGUUCCGUUUGUUCCAUAUAGAUGACCGCACAAACUUGUUGAACUCUAUCUAACUUUUUUAAUCCCUCCAAUUGCUCAACUUUCAAUUGUUUCACGAUUAUUCAAUCACCAUAGUUUUUUUUUUUUUAUGACCAUAGCGCUCGUGCCACAGUCUUGCUAUGUCAUCAGUUGUUGUCUGCAGGCAUCGACGUUCACUGGAUUCUGCAACAUCUUUACCUUGAUCAAUCAGCAUGAACAUGCGAUUUGCACUCAUCUUACUUUCUGCUAUCAAGCCCUUCUCUUCAUGAUAGAUUUUGCAGACUCCACUCUGAAUGAUGAUCGUGAUUUUCUUCUCCUGCAGCUGUCCCAAGCUCAGAAGGUUGUUCUUUAGUUCUGGUACGUAGUACACAUCACUUAUCAUGUAGCUUGCACCAUUGAACAUCAGCUUCAGGUUCCCUUUUCCAACAACCUCCAUCCUCUUGUUGUUGCCUAGCUUGACUGAAUGACUGAAUUUCUCAUCAAGCGUGGAGAACAAGCUCUUGUCUCCGCUCAUAUGAUUUGAGCAACCUGAGUCAAGAAACCAUACUUUCUUCCUUAAGCUCUCUUGUCUCUCAGAACCAACCAUUAGUGAGUGCACAACGACUUGGUUGCCUGCCUCCUCUUGAUGCACUUCAUCAAUCUCCAGUUCCUCAACAAACGCCAUUAGUAGCAUCUCUUCAUCUUCAAGAUCUGCAUAAUUUGCCUCUUCUUCCCACUUUGGACAUUCAUUCUGGAAAUGACCAAGCUUGUGGCACUUGUAGCACUCCACUGUGCUCUUGUUGAAUGCAGUCCUGCCACGACCUCGUCCUCUACCUCUUGCGAAAGACCCUCUGCCUCUGGAUCCCAUUCCUCUCCCAUGUGUGAUCUUUAGUACUUGAUCAUCACCUUUCUCACUCUUCUUAAACUUCUGCUCGUGAACCACCAAAGAACUCUGCAGUUCAUCUAAUGUGACGGUCUCAAUGUCUUUGGAUUCUUCAAUUGAUACCACCACAUACAUGAACUUCUCACUGAGAGUUCUGAGAAUCUUCUCAACCACCUUUGAGUCUGUCAUGACCUCACCAUUGCUCCUCAUUUGAUUGGUAAUUCCCAACACACGCUUGAAGUAUUCCUCAAUACUUUCACUCUCCUUCAUCUCCAAGACUUCAAAAUCUCUUCUCAACUUCUGCAGUAGCGAUCUCUUCACUCGAGCAUUGCCACCAUACUUCGAUUUCAUCGAAUCCCAGAUGAUCUUAGACGUUCUUCUGUCCAAGAUCUGCUCAAACGUCACCCUGUCAAUGCUCUGGUACAAGUAGUGCUUGACCUUGUGAUCGUCAGUCCUGCUGUUCUCCAGUUGCAGGCUCUGUUCUGCAGUCAGCACUGUUGCAUCUGCAGGUUCUUCAACACCGGUUUCAAUCGUACUCCAUAGUCCCUUGGCUCGGAAGAAGUUCUCCAUAACUUCACUCCAGUGAUCCCAAUGUCCAUCGAACUGCGGCAGUUUCAUCUUGUCGUUUCCCAUCUCUUUUUUUCUAAGCACAGAGCUCUGAUACCAAUUUGUAAUAAUAUCAAGUACUCUGUUUUUGUAUAUGAAAACUGUAAUUCAUUCGAUGAAACAAAUGGCUGUUAAAAUAGUCUUACAGAGAAAACAAUGAACUCCUAAAAAUAAGCAACUAAGGAACCAACUACUUGAACAAGCUUGGACCUAAAGACUCGGUACUGACUUCGUGCUAAACGCACUACUAUUAUUGACUUAAACAAAUAAACAUGACAAAGACCAAUUCAAACUUCAAUGACUUCAAACUUCCAACGGCUCUCAUCUCUUUGAAUUGCUCCAACACUUUAUGAUACGUUGAGCAUGUGGCUAUAAAAAAUCUUCGUUUUUUUCUCAUAGAAUAUGAUUCAUACGAAUAACAAAACAAAAGAUCCUUCGCUUGAAUGUUUUUUUAUUUAUUGUUAGUUUCUUGUGUCUCGAAUGAAACAUCAAGAUAGGUGACAGGUUAUGUUCUCUGUUAACGUGAGAUAGAAGCAUACGCAAUUGUAUAUUGAAAAUCUAAGUGAUAUACAUCUAAAAAUUUACGGAAAAAUUUUAUCAUCUCGACUCUAAAAUUCUUUUUUAUUGGUUUAUUUUAGUAUUGUAACUUUAAUUUAUAUUCUUAUUACUUUUGAAAAAUAUCAGUUGCUGUAUAAUAAUAAGAUAAGAUUCCUACAUUCUCAAAUAUUUAAAUAUUAUUUAUUGUUUUAUACUAACAAUUAGGUACUUUUGAAGUUUGCACAAUUUUCUUAAUACUCUUCUUAUUUCACUGUGUUUUUUUUAGUAAAAAUCUUUGUUUCAUAUAUAUACUAAAAUCUUAAAGAAAAAUAUUAUCAGUAUUUCUAAUAUUUCCAUAUUUUUGCUACGAAUAAAUAUAUGAUCUUCCACUAACCAUAGUUAUUUUAUAAAUAUUAUGAUGUAAAUAUUUUUGGCUAACAUAAUAUAGAAUCUUUUUAGAUAAUGAUGAUUAUCAAAUUAAUGAAAUUUGUUUAUAAUUUAUGGGUAAUUAUAUAUUAACAAAAAUAAUCUAAUUAUUUUUAUGUAAGGGUAAUGAAGACUUUAAAUGUUCUAACUUUUAACGUGAUAGCAAAAAAAAAAAAUUACAAAUAAUAAUAUAAAUAUUUUUGAAUUCUUUGCUAACCUUUUUCAGAAAUUAUUACAAUAAAUGAUUUUAACUGUCUUAAAAAAUUUAUCUUAAAAGAUAGAUGAUUUAUUCUAUCUUAUGUAACAUAUAUAUAUUAAAACAAAACCGGUUUAAUAUUAUUGAACCAAGUAAUAAAAACAUAUAUAUAUAUACUCAUGAUUUGAGAGUUUUGAAGGGAUUUAAAUACCCCUCUAAUUUAGAAGGGAUUUGGGAUUUGAACAAAUUUUUAGAAAGGAAUUAGAAGAGAUUUCAGGAAAUUUGAGGAUUUUUAUUUUUGGUUUUCUUUAAGCAAUUGUUCUUUAAAGCUUUCACUACUUACAACUGUCGUUCACUAAACUUGGUAAUAAGUUUCAUUCAUAAGGUAAUAGAAUCAAACAGUUCUAUCCACACAGAACCAAAACACAAUACCAACCAAAAAAAGAGAGGAUAAAAUGUGAAAUCUUGAACAUCCAGACUUCUUGUAGAUCAGUUUGCAUUCAGGAGAGUUUCAACCUCUAGCAUUGUAGGAAGAGCUGGAAUUGCUCCUUUCUUGGUAGCUGUAAUGGCUCCACAUGCAUUAGCAAACCUAAUUCUAGAAGACGAGCUUCCUCCUCGAGAACAGAGCGGUCACCAACAAUGGUGCAAAGCAAGGCACCAACAUAUGAAUCACUAGUACUAGUUGUAUCCACAACGUUCACAUGGAAAGGAUCAACAUAUCCACGGAAGCUCUUGGUGUAAUAAUUACAACCCUUUUCACCUAAAGUGACCAAGAGAAGAUUUAAGUUAGAGUGCCACUGAGACAAAGCAGUCUCAUCAUCAACAUUAUCAGAUCUAGUUAAGAACAUAAGCUCUUCAUCGUUUACUUUGAUCACUUCAGCUUUUUUCCAGCUGCUAAGAAUCUGCUUUUUAGCCUCCUCCUUAGAGGGUGGGUAACCUCAAGUUGGGUCGUAAGAGAGAAACGCACCGGGUUCUUUAGCCACCUCCAUUGCCUUCAGGUGACGAGAUCUACAAGGGUUGGUUAUGUAGGCUAGAAUCGAAGAACAUUGUGGGAGGAAAAGAGAUUUAGUUUAGGGCUAUGAAAAAUGUAAUUAAGGCGUGAUUCCUUAAAAGUUAGUUAUGCAAUAAAGCCAAAAAAAACUUGAGAAUUUAAAAUUGCAAGAUGUCACUAAUUGUCAUAUAAGAAACUCAACUCAACUUUAUUAGCAUAGAUAGAUAGAUAGAUAGAUGGUCUAAUUGUAUAAUAAAUACAAAGAAAACAUAAUUGUAUAGAUAUAUAAAAAAAAUGGAUCAAAUAUAUAAAUUUAUUUAAAUCAAUACUAUAUGUUUUAAAUUUUAAUUUUAUAAAUUCACUCCUAGCAAAAUAUUAAUCUGCUUGUAGGUUCUUUGUACAACAAAUAAUGAUACGAGGCCCUUUGACGGGGCCCAUUGGGCUAUUACGAUCGAUGGAGGUUUUGGCAAUGGAUAUCGAAACACUCGUUAGGGUUUUUACAGAAGAAAAAAAGAAUGCACAGAUCUGACGGUUGAGAGUAUGCUUAUCUGAGAUCCAAGGGUUAGAAAACAGGCGAGGCACAGCGUAAUAGAUCUCUCUGCGAGGGGGGACGCAGUCACAAGAAGUAGAAAAAAAAAACCCUCUCUCUCUCAUUCAAAGGCUCUCAUCUAACCCUAAUUAUAGAGAGAGAAAGUCUCCAAUCCUCAUCGGUGGAACCAUGGACGAAGAAGGCGAGACCAUCUUAUUUUAUUCCGGUAAGAUCUCUUUCUUAACAGGAAUUUGUUUGUUAGAUUUCGAUCUGUAGUAAAUUCGUUUACGCCUUGUCCUUUUUUUUUGUGUGUGUGAAAGUGAAUGAUACAUUCGUUUGCUGGAACAUUGAUGAUUGCCCAGUCCCUGUGGAUACCGAUCUUGGUUCUAUUGUUAAUAAUUUCGAACAUGCUCUUCACCAAAUGGGCUUUGCGGGGAGAAUGAGCAUCAAUGUGGAUUGUAAGAAACUCAACUCCAACGAAGAAGCCUUGUUUAAGGCCGGAAGAAUUUUCUACUUACCCUAUGGUAAAUUCCUCAGUCGCUUCUAUUUAAUUAUAUGCCUGAGUUAUUAUUUAACUAAACUAAAAAAUGUUUGAUUUAUUAUGUAGGCGAAACAAUGUGCCGCAAUUUUGUUACUAGGCCUACUCUGGAUAUGACUUUUUAUAUGCUCUCUGUAUUACAAGAGACUGCACCAAUACUUGCAAAUUUAGCCGUAGUCGUCAAACCAAAUAUUGAUCCAGGUAGUGAGUUACAUAGGGUUCUGCACUGUUUGAAAUCGAGGGGUCACAAUGUUCUCCUAGUAGAGCUGCCACCUGAUGAAAAGUGUCUCUUUAGUGUUGACUCUCUACUUAAGAAUUCACGAUUUUUGGGUGGAGGAAAGCCUAGAGCCAAAAAAGAGUUAACUCCUGAAGAGAUGCGGGAGAUGCAGCGUCUGUAUGACUCGGAGGAGGAGGAGGAGGAGGAUGGUAGUUAUGAUGUUAGCGAUCUCUCCAACCAGAAAAUGUUAGAUUUCUCAGGUAAGACCCUCUCAAAUUGUUUGUUUGUUUUAGAUUUCAUCUGUCAUUUUUAAAAAUUAUAAAUGGUAUUUAGCCUCCCUCCCUCUUUUGCAUCGCUCAGAGCGUAUCAAACACGUCAAAGGGCCUAGGACAGUCAUCUUCUGGGACGCCAUUGAUUGCCCAUUCCCUCUUUGUUUCUCUCCUGAACAGAUCUUCCAGAAAAUCAAAUCAGUUCUUAUGAAAAAAGGUACGAAUGAUAAUAUUACAAUCUGGGCUUAUGUCGAUGAACGGUCUUGGAGGGAUAAGUGUCUGGGUAACAAGACUUGGGAUUCAAGAAUCUACUUUCUUCCCGCAGGUGAAUUCCAACCUUUUUCUUUGUGUGUAUGUAAUCUAUAUAUGUUGAUGUUUUUUCUCAUUUUUUUUUAUCCAGGGGAUAGACGUGUCAGAAUGUUAAACGACAUGUAUCUACAGUGUAGAGACGCUCCUCUGCACCAUUGUCCAGGACUUUUGAUCCUAGUCUCGAAUCAUUUCUCAGGUGACCCCUUCUACAUGGAGUUGUUUCAGGACAUGGAGCACCAAAAUUACCAUCCUUUCUUGAUAAUUCCGAGGGAGCACAGCAACAUAUCAGAAAGCCCUGAUGAAUGGCCACAGUCUCUAUUUAAUAGACCUCGCAAAAGCUCACAAGGACCUCUUCCCAAAAAGCCUAAACUGGAUGCUGCUUAAAGUAGCACAUGCCCAGGGCUGAUGAUACUCUGGUUAUUAUGAUGUUGGAUCUUGCUUGCUUCACAAGAUCUAUUGUUGCAUCCUGAUAUUUAUAUCAAAAACUCUUGUUCUUAUUUUGGGUUUACGCUUUUGUUUAUUUUAAACUGCAAACUCUGUUGUGACAAAUUUUAU
This 45273-nucleotide long non-coding RNA is filed under the name Brassica napus (rape). Its description in RNAcentral is "long non-coding RNA (BNAP_LNC010500)". The stretch from base 27983 to 28105 matches the Rfam family "MIR9563 microRNA precursor family". The record is from RNAcentral. Lineage: Eukaryota; Viridiplantae; Streptophyta; Magnoliopsida; Brassicales; Brassicaceae.